RNAcentral lists this long non-coding RNA (66034 nucleotides) under Coffea arabica (coffee). Its description in RNAcentral is "long non-coding RNA (CARA_LNC003863)". The stretch from base 15007 to 15078 matches the Rfam family "tRNA". Lineage: Eukaryota; Viridiplantae; Streptophyta; Magnoliopsida; Gentianales; Rubiaceae. The record is from RNAcentral.
GAUGCAGCAUUCAGCGAAAUAGCAAAAUUGGAAUUUUGUUUCAAAACCAAGAUCAUCAAUAUGCAUUUUCAAUUUAGAUGGUACGAUAUAGAUGUGAAUUCUUCAAGCAUCAAAUGUCCAUUUACCAAUCUGGAAUUUGAUAUGUUACCGCAUUUUUAGAAGGAAAAAUAAGCGAAGAUAAUAAAGAGACUACUAAAACUGAUCUUUAACUUAUUAUGAGCUUACACAAACUAUAAAGAAAUCCUCAAGGAAAACCAAAAGAGCUUACAGGUCAUUGGAGAUGAGAUUAGUAAGUUGCACAUUUUCUCCAAAAAAUCACUACCCUGUUACCAAAUUCACAUUUCUCGAAUAUUGAUCUAAUGCUUAGGAACAUAUGACUUUUUAAGACCAAUUCUGCUUCAAAUUAACAUGAUAAAAUUUUUUUGGUGAGAAAAGUUGAGAUGUUUGCUAAAACCAUACAUAAUAUCCAUUAAGAACCACAUUUUCUAGUAUAUGAUAACAUCAAACAUCUGAACUGACUUACCUUGACCGCUCAAUGAAUAGGUAGUUAUCCACCAUUCAAUUCUCAAAAGAAAAACUACACAUAAAUGGUACAAAAUUUUCAAACUUUGCUAUUGAAUUUUCUAAAUUUCACGUAGCCCAUAUUAAUUUUAUAUAAAGUACAAGAACAAUUCACUUCCAAAAUGGUAAAAAUUCCAGCUUUUCUUGGAUUCGUCCAAAAGUAAGAACUUCAUUAAUAUUAUUAAAGCCCAUUACGAAAAAAGCUUUCUUUUUCUAAUCUACCAGCUUAUGUCAAGAAAAUGAACGCAUAGUGAAAUGUAAACCGUGUGUUCGAAUUUAAAAAAAAAAAAAAAAAAAACUCAUUUGAGUAAAAACUCGAGUAAUGAGCAACCUCGGGAUGCUGAGGGCUGGAAAGGCUUUCUUUAUACUUCACCCAGCGUUGGCUGAGCUGAGCUAUAGUGUCGCCGGUGAGGGCUAGAGAGGCGGCCAUGAAUGCUUGCUUCACCGGGAACUGGUAACCGGUUCUACCGGUUAUAUCAGCUGAAUUAGAUGAGGAUUUUGAUUCUCUGAUGCUUCUUUUUCUUGGACUUCUUCUCCUAUUGUUGUUGAAAUCAUGGAAAUUCAGUUGUCCCAUCCCAAAUGGACCCCAAUUUCCACCACCACCUAACGACCCCAUUCCCCUCGAAUUUACCGAGACGCUAAUCUCAGCCUCAGGUAUCACUUGUACUCGUAGUUCUUAUUCGCCUCAGAACUUUUUUUUUCUUCUCAAUAUAAGAAUUUAUUCUUUGGCCUCCGGCAAUACUAGGCAGGGGAAUAUUGACUAUUCCUUUUCUUUUUCCUUUUUUCCUUGAUCUAGUUAAUGUAGUUAACUACGACUUGAUAAUUCAUUACUUAAUUGGAUCUUUUCUCUAUUUUCUCCUUGGCAAGAGGGAUACUACCUUUUUUUUUUCAGUUCAAGAAAGGCACUACAAAUACAAUGGAAAAAAUUAUUGUGUCCGGUGUUCAAAUACGCAUUUAUUAAGAUAUAUUUCAGGUGUUAUUUUUUUAAAUAUAAAAUUAAUUAAAAAAUAAAUAAAUACAAGAAUGAAUAAUAAUUAUUAAUAUAUAUAUAUAUAUAUAUAUGUGUGUGUGUGUGUGUGUGUGUGUGUGAAUGAUAGGUUAGUUAAUUUUUAGAUACGUUAACGAAGGUUAAAUACACACAUGUUAGGAAAAUCCCAGAAAAAAAUCAAGAAUCAAGGGACACCAUACACGUACAAGGGAAAAAAGCACUUGAAAAUCAAAUCAAGAAUUCCCUAGUUACAAUACUAAUGUUUAUAACAACUGGUCUAAAUCAAAUAACAACGGAACUGAAUCAUGAACACAAAUUUUUAGUUUGUUUAUUAGACCUCUGGGCUCCACUUGGGGCAUUUUAUUUCUUUUUUGUGGUUAAAUUAAUUUGAUUAAAGUAGUUGACAAAGACUUGCAUGUAAUAAACUACUACUAUAUGGAGUGUGUGUGUGUGUGUAUAUAUAUAUAUAUAUAUAUCAUAAUCAACCAGCUCCACGGAACUUGGUAAUUUAAGUACAAGAUCAGGAAGAUAAUCAAGUACUUGAAUUUGAUUGAAUUCAAUGAUCCGAGCUUCAGCUUGAUAAAUUAAUGAAAAGGUUCAAGUCUCCAAUCAUCAUCUGAGUCUAAUCAACUACAACUGCUCUGGCAACAUCAACUUCCCAUAAAAGUCUUCAUUCAAAGAAAACGGGAAGGGCAGUUCAAAGCAAGUGUUGCACAAGGAUCAGCUACCCAGUAGACACAAAAGACAGCAAAAAAGGAUCCUGCAAUCAAAGAGGAUAGGGUCAAAGGUCAUGGCAAUCUAAACUCCGAUUGUGAAGUAGAGAUGACAAAUAUCCAGACUUGCAACUUCUAUUCCCAAUUCACAGUGUUUAGAGGCAAGGCAAGUUUUAAGCCAUAACUUAGGCUUUGUCUCCUGUAUAGAGCAUACCAAAAUGGUUAAAAACCUGCGAAAAAAACCAAUUAUAAAAUGCCCUGGAUUCAUCAUGUUGCCGUAUCAUAUAGAACAAAGGUUAUUGAUUUCAAGAAAACAUUGACAACUCUGACACUAGUCACCAAUAUAUUGAGAUUCCUAAUCUACAGCCAUGACUAACAUAAAAGGAGGUCAUUGACAUUGAUAUCUAGGAAGAACAUCGGAGGCAUCAUUUUCAAUGCAUGAUAAAGUCCGUUGAUGUAAUUCGACAACUAAGAGCAUAUACUGAGAUAGACACUCAGGAGUAGUUGUUCUAGUUUUAUCAAAUUUACCAUUCCUAUAUGAUCCAUUACAAAAAAUCUUUUGGGGUUCAUCAAAUAAUUAGUGGGGUUGUUCCCUACAUCUCUAACUCUUUGGCAGCCCUGGAUUGGGCAAUAAAGCACAAGUGAACUUUAUAAAAUGGAAGCCGAAAGAGUUUGCAGGCAAGUAGAAAAUGAAAAAAUUGCAAAACAUGAAUGCCCAAGGAUAGACACAGAAAUCAAUCUUAUGAAGAUGUUAAGCUAUUCAGCAAUUGACAGUUCACCUGCAUCAUUGUGCAAGCAGUAGGGCUUUCAGAAAGCCAACCAAGAUGGACUGCUUCCACAGCUCAAUCUUUUCAACUUCACAAUCCUCUCCUCCAUUGCCAUCUUCAGAAGAACCAGAGUCAGCCGCAUUUGGUAGACCUUCCAAUUCUUCUUCUCCUUCAAUCAGCAAAGCUAGACUCUCCGUAUACCGACCAACAAAGAAUGAAUCUUUGGUGCCCAAAAUUCCAAUGUAUUUAAUUUCUUGAAGCCUUGGAUCUGGAUCAUAUGAAUACAGUUCUCCGUCACUUGCUGUCAACAAUAUAUUACCAUCCUUCCUAAAACUCAAUAUCUUCCCCAAUUCUCCUUCAAGAGCUACUGUGUACAUUUUGCUCCAAGACUUUACAUCGCCAUAUACUGUCAUCAACCAAAUGGAACAGCUUCCAGUCCCAACACGCUUAUCAUAGUUGAGAACAGCAAUUGAAUCCUCACAAACAGAAGUGCACAUAUUUAUUGGACACUCAACAGCCAAAGCAUCAGGCAACAACAGUUCCUCAAACACCUCAUUGCUCAAAUCAAACACCAUAAUCAAAUUCUCCUUCUCUUCAUUCAACCUAUAAGCAACCCAAUGCACCUUUCCGUUCACAAACGCCUGAGUCCAGAAGUUCUCAAUCACCCAGUUUUGAGCCAAAUCAACAUCAAUCUCCCUCCAAUCACCUACACCCAGCGCAAAAACUUCAACUAUGGGAGGCAACUUAUACCCGCGUCUAGACUGAUCAUAAGCAAUCCUUACAACCUUAAAAUCAUUGUUUUUCACGUCAUAUCCAAAUCCAACCACAAACAUAUAAGUCCCCAAGUUCUCAAAAACGGCGCGGGGCACAGGAAGAAUCAUUUUUCGCCUGAUCGAAGGGUUCCACAGCAUAAUAAGGUUUCUGUAUCCAAAAAUAUCCUCAGACAAACACAGUAACCCAUUGCAAAAACCCACAAUCCUGAAAUAAAACUGAGCUAAACGGCGAAAAGGGAAGUCUAUUUUGACCUCACUUGCCACAGUGGAAUCUUCAUUGUCGUGGUGUACAGAGUAAAGUUCAGUUCUUUGGGGUUUGGAAUAGCACCUAACAAGCAUCCUAUCAUCUGGGAUGGUGGGUUUUGAGAGAAAAGCUUCUCUGGUAUGCAGAGAAAUGAAAUCAGGACUGGAGAUCAAAGAUUUCCAUGAUUUGGAUACGCACCUGAACCUUAUGAGAGACUUUGCAGGAACCCUUGUGAGGAUUCGGGUCACAAUUUCUUCAGGGAUGAAAUUGGACAUUUUUUUAAAGGACCUUUUUCUGGAUUUAGUAGUAAAAUUAUAGACUCUUGAGUGAGGCAAAGAGACUAUAAAGACUGGAAAGAUUAAACCUUUUUUGAGAAAAGAAUUUGAUGAGCGGAGGGUUUCUACUUGAUUCUGGACAUAAUUCAGAGUUCCUCUGCUCGCACUACUGUGGAGCUGUGUAGUCCCUUUCCAGGUUGAGCUCAAGUGAGCAGGGUCGAAUGGAGUUUUGAUCUGAUAGAGCCGGGCUUUCGAGCUUACUCGGGCUUAAAAAAUAAAAAAUAAUUAUAUUAUUUUUUUAAAAAAGAGUAAAAUAGUAAUUUUUUCUUACAAAUAAUAAAAUAUUAGAAUAUAUAUAUGUGUAAUUUUAUUAUUAAAAUAAAAAAUUAUAUAUAUAUAUAAAUUGAGCAGCUCACGAACUAAUAAGCUGAAUUUUUCUGCGUUUGAUGUUAACUAGACUCGAGUCGAAUUUUGACUGAACUGACUCACAAACACUUGCGAGCAGCUUGAUUCGAGCACUAUUCCCUGUUAUAAAGAAGUUCCAAGAAAAAAAUCGAUUGAUUUAAGUGUGUUUGGACAGUAGAUCAUUUGGGAUAAUUUUUUGAAAAAAAAUACUGCAUCACUUUUUUGAUAUGACAUAUGUGGGAUAAAAAAAAUAGUUGAAAAAUGUGUUGAUAAUACAAUCAAAUAAAAUUUAACAAAUAAUCUUUCACCAGAUAUUAUUUCAACCUUUACUUUUUAGUUGAACAAGAGCAAGAAGAAUAUUAACAAUAAGACUAAUCAAACAUGCCAUAGCAGAAUUUUUUGCAUAUCUGUGUUUGGACAGGAGAUUAUUUGUCCAAAUAUAUUUGUUUUCAUCAUCAUUACAAUUUCUAAUACACUUUUUUAUCUUUCUAAUUAUUUUUUGAUUUCAUAUAUAUCACAUCACAACAAGUGCUACAGUAAAAAAUCUCAAAUAAUUUACAAUCCAAACACAAGCCAAUGCUCUCUCUUUCCACUUCUUACAUUUCGAUAUGCACACAAGUCUAUUCAAUCUAAGGUAAUCUCAACAAUGAUUUUAACCGUGAAAGGAUUAUCUUUAUUGGCAGAACCUUAUUCUAAGGUGAACAGAAAUGCUCCUUAUUAUUCACUGUGAUGUUUAAUCUAAUCCUUGGAAAUUCUUGUCAUGCUCCCAUUUGAAUUGUUAUUUUUGAAAUUUUCAUAAAAAAAAAAGUACUAUAACAAUUUGAUACGUGUGAAAUAAAAAAGUAACUAAAGCCACGUGAAUAAGGUGUCUAUAGUUGACUGCCAAGCAAGAUUGUAGAGUUUUACUAUUAAGACCCAAAUAAGUACAGCCACAUACGUUUACUUUUGACCAAUUUGGUUUCUUUGUUUUGUUUUACUUUUGACCAGUGAUUGACUAGGAAGGCCUACAUUUACUCGUCUUGUUUUGUAUAAUUUAAUUUGAUUAAAGUAGUUGAGAAGGACUUGAAUGUGUAUUUUCUUUCUUUUUUUUUCUUUUUUUCUUGUUAAGGCGGGAUGUUUCUUGUCCAAAAAAAUGAUAAAAUUUUAGGAAAGCAGUCGAGUCAAAAUGUAAUUAACUACUGAUUACGUCAUUAAUCCACCUUGAUCUUGGAAAUUCUAAUAGACUAGUACCCGAGCUCCAUGGAACUUGUCAAUUGUAUACAAGCUCAGCCAGAUGAUUAUGUACCAGAAGUCAAUUGAAUCCAUUAAUCCAAGCUUGAGCUCCACUAAGCUAAUUCAUGAAAAGGCUGGAGUUGUCUCUUAAGUAUGCAAGCAUCAAGUCUAAUCAAGCUACGUUACUCAAAACUGCAGCUGCUUUGGAAAAUCAACUCCCAUACAAGAGUCUUCAUUCAAAACAAAAUGGUACCAAAAAAGAAAGAAAGAAAGGAUAAUCAAAGAAAGUGGAUUGGGAAGGGCAGUUCAAAGAAAGUGAAAACGAAGACAAAAAGGUUUCACCCAUCUCAGCAAGUGCCGCACAAACAUCAGCUCCCCAGCAGACAAAUCAGACAGCAAACUGCCGGAAUUUACACAAAAGGAUCCUGCAAUGAAACAGGAUGGGGUCAAGGUCAUGGCAGUCCACAUUGCAAUUAUGAAGUAGAGAUAAGAUAUCUAUCUAGACAAUCAACAUUUUUUCCCAAUUCACAGUAUUUAGAGAUAAAGCCCAGUUCCAAGCCAUCCCUUUAGAGUUGUCUCCUACAUGGUUAAACACCUGCAGAAGCCAAUACUACAAUGCCUUGGAUGCAUCAUUUUGCUGACCAGAUAGAAUGAGGUUCACUGAAUUCACAAAACAGAUGCAUAAAUAUCAUUCAGGUGAAAAAUACAACAAAGUUUCCUUCAAACUUCGCUAUAGUUAAAAUAACGUCUCCUCUCAAACUUCAGAUAAACCCUCCGUACAACUUUGACACCAGUCACCAAUUCAUUUGGCAUUCCUAAAUUACAACCAGGCAUAACCAAAAGGAGCAGGUCAUUUAAAUUAACGUCUACGAAGAACACAGUACACAUCAUUUUGGAUACACGAUAGAGUCAGUCGACGUAGUUUUAGAAACUAACAGCAAAUCCUAAAAUAAAAACUCAGGAGAAGUAGUUCUAGUUUUGCUAAAUUUACCAUUGCUAAAUGGUCUGUGAAAAAAUCCUUUUCGGGUUCAUCAAAUGGUUAGUGAGGUCUUUCCCUAGAUAUCCAGCUGUUUAGCAGCCCUGGAUUGGAUGAUAAAGAAGUUGUGAAGCAUACAAAAAGGAAGUUGAUCGAGUUUGCAAGCAAGCAGAAAUUCCAAAAAUGCAAGACAUGAAUGCCCAAGGAUAGAUACAAAAAUCAGUCUAAAAUCAUGUAGAAGCUAUUCAAAUUCAAAUAUAUCAGCAGUUGAACAUUUACCUGCAUCAUUGUUGUUUGUUCAAGCAGAGCUUUCAGAAACUCAACCAUCAUGGACUGCUUCCAGAGCUCAUUGGCUUCAACUCUGUCAUCCUCUCCUUCAUUUUCAUCUCCAGAAGAAUCAGAUUCGGCCACAUUUGGCAGACCUUCCAGUACUUGUUCACCAUCAAUCAGCAAAGCUAGGCUCUCUGUAUACCUAUCCACAAAAAAUGAAUCUUUGGUACCCAGAAUUCCAAUGUACUUAAUUUCUUGAAUCCUUGGGUUUGGAUCAUAUGAAUACAAGUCUCCAUCUCUUGCUGUCAACAAUAUAGUACCAUCCUUCCUAAAACUCAAUAUCCUCCCCAGUCCUCCUUCAAAAUCUACUGUGUACAUUUUGCUCCAAGACUUUACAUCACCAUAUGUUUGCAUCAACCAAAUGGUACAGCAUCCAGUCUCAACAUGCUUAUCAUAAUGAAGAACAGCAAUUGAAUCUUUGCAAACAGAAGUACACAAAUUUAUGGUACACUCAACAACCAAAGCAUCAGGCAACAACAAUUCCUCAAACACCUCGUUACUCAAAUCAAAUGCCAUGAUCAAAUUCUCCGUCCUAUACUCCUCCACAUUCAACCUAUAAGCAACCCAAUGCACCUUUCCAUUAACAUAUGCCUGAGUCCAGAAGUGCUCAAUGAUCCAAUUUUGAGGCAAAUUAACUUCAAUCUCCCUCCAAUUACCUGCGCUUAGUGCGAAAACUUCAACUAUUGGAGGCAAGUUAUACCCACUGUCUGACUGAUCAUAAGCAAUUCUUACAACCUUAAAAUCAUUACUUUUCAAGUCAUAUCCAAAUCCAAGCACAAACAUAAAGGGCCCUAAGUUCUUGUAAAUAGCUCGGGGCAAAGGAAGAGUGAUUUUCCGCCUGAUCAAAGGGUUCCACAGCAUAAUAACAUUUGUGUAUCCAAAAAUGUCAUCAGACAAACACAAUAACCCAUUGGAGAAACCCACAAUCCUAAAAUAAAACUGAGCUAAACGGCGAAAAGGGAAGUCUAUUUUGACACCACUUGCCACAGUGAAAUCUUCAUUGUCGUGGUGUACAGAGUAAAGUUCAGUCCUUUGGGGUUUGGAAUAGUGCCUGACAAGCACUCUAUCAUCUGGGACGGCGGGUUCUGAGAGAAAAGCUUGACGGGUAUGCAGGGAAAUGAAAUCAGAGCUGGAGAUUAAAGAUUUCCAUGAUUUGGAUACGCACCUGAAUCUUAGGAGAGACUUUGCAGGUACCCUUGCGAGGAUACGGGUUACAACUUCUUCAGGCAUGUAAUCGGACAUUUUUUCAAGGCAUGUAGUCGAGCAAAAUGUUCUGAGUAGGAUAGUCGUAGUAGUGUGGAGUUUUCUAGUAAGAACCUGGGCAACUUGUUUUCCUCUGCCCAACUAUAAGCCUAUAAACUAAAGAAGUUCCAAGAAAACCUUUUAAGUUUUGUCUUUUUGUCCCAAAGGGUCGAGGGGAGUUACAAAAGGAACUGUAGUAUCAUCGGAUCAAAUGCGUAUCUGUACACUCGCGAUUAAAUGCAAGACAAGAGAUUUGAUCUCUUAACCUAUACUCAAAGAAAAUUUUAAGCCUCUCCCCCAUGGCUCGUGGCUGAGUUGAGUUGGUUAUGUUUCAAGAAAACGGAAUGAUUUUUUUUCCCUUUUUGUUUUAAUUUUUCUUUUCAAGAUUAGUAAGUGAUUUAAGGAGGAUGCUUUCUUGGCUAGAUUUUAGUUAGGGCAGGAUCGUUUAAAAAAAAAAAGAGAUGAUAUUGGUAGUUCCAAAAAAAAAAAAUUUUCCAAGCGCCCCAUCCUUCAUUUUUGGUUAAUUAAAUGACAAAAAAAUUGUUUGUAAAUUGUCCAGUGUGCAUUUCUCGGUAACUCGUAUUAUUUUAUCUCUUUGAUUUUUUUUCAAAUUUUUUAUUUUAUCUCUUACAUCUGCCCUAAAUUGCUGUAGUAUUAAGAAUGGAGAAAAUUUUUUAUAACAAUGACUGAAUAAAUGUUGUUUGAGUAUGAAUUGUUUAGUAAUUCUUGAUUAAAGUACAAGCCUUCGUAGUUGAGAGCUGUCUGUAAUUUUUGACAUGUUCAUUUGUUAGGUGGAACUUUGCAAAUUUAACGAAAUUUAUAAUUAUUUUAUAUCUUUUUUUUUAAGUUUUAAGACUUUGUAAUUAAAAUUUUAUAGGUCUACACAAAAAAUAGACCAUUUACUAUGCUUUGGGGGUACUUUUUGCAUUUAAAUGUUAGAAAAUCUAGUUUAUGGCUCAAUUCGUUGUUGUCAAUAAUAAUGAACAAGGAUGGAACUGGAGAUUGCCUUAAAAAAAAAAUUUUUGGAGAGCCAAUAUCAUUGGACAUAUAUUAAAAAAAAAAAACAAAUUUACCAACCAUCUCUCCUUAGUCAACUUACCGAGAAAAUCAUAUGGUUAAUAAAAUCGUUGUAUUGCAGUGUUUUUGCAUCAUUAAUAAAAUCGUAUAUAGUUAAGCAACAGUUUGUAACUCUCAUUUGAUAAUAAGCCUAAUCAAAUCAAACACUUGAGUGAUUAAACUUGUUCAGUUGUUUAUUUAUUUACCGAGUUUGAAAUUGUGUUCAAAUUCGAUUUAUUUUUUUCCAUUGAGCCAGACUCAAGUGAUCUUUUAUUUGGUUGAGUUCGAGUAGUUUGAAUUUUUACAUGUAAAAUUUUAAAUUUUAUGCUAAUUAAACCAAACGAGUUGAAUUUAAAAUUUUACCGAACAUAAAAUGAAGUAUCAUUUAUGUUUGACUUGAUUCGUAUUCAAAUCAAAUGGAACGAGCUCUUAUGAGUUGAACCAGAUUUGACUUUAGAGUAUCUAGUUACUUGUCUUUCAGCCCUAAGAACAUUGCUGCUGUUGUCAAAUGUCUAGUUGAAGUGAAGUAGAUAAGACAGUGAAGUACUUGUCCUGCUGACGCUUUUGAAAUCAAAUCUCUUCCGAAUACUCUCUUUUCACUUCCAACAUUUGGAUAUGCAUCUGCACACAAAUUUUUUUUUUUUUUUUGGGAGCAUAUGAACAGAAGUUGAAUCUAUCUAAAGCAAUCUCUGCAAUGAUUUUAACCAGGCAGGGCCUAAUCUUGAUUGACAUUCAGCAUUUGCAGAAGUUUAUACACAGGUAAAGAAAGAAAGAUGCUACUUGUUAUUCUCUUCUACGUUUAAUCCUUCAAGUCUUUUCAUGCUUUGAUCUUCUAGCUAUCAAUCAUGACAUCCUUAUUAGAUUGAAUCAUGCAAAGAACCUGUAACAAUGUGUAUAUGUACAUCUUCAAUUCUCAAUAGAACCAGAUUUAGAGUAUUAGACCUCUGUAGUUGACUGCAAAUCAAGACUGCAGUCCUGUGGAAACUAUUAGGACCCAAAUGCUUGAAGUAUCUUUAGACAAAACCAAGGAAACACUCCAAUACAGCCGAAUGACCGUGAUCAAGUGAAUAAAAGAGAUGUCAUAGUUGUUGUCCUUCCCUUAUUGAAAAGAUGUAAAAUUUGCCAAAAGACAGUUUAAUAUUGAACUCAAGAAGGAAGACCUAUAAAUGAGUAGAGUGGAUUGAUGGACCAUUUUAGCUUAGUGCAAUUUUGCCACUGAACUGACUUAGGCUAUGCUAACCACAGUAUUGACCUUUUGGACAUUGUGGCUUGCAGCAUUACUAUUCUUAUAGGCCAUUAUUCUGCAAAACUAGCAGACAGGUUGUGGCUUGUUGAUAGAGCUAAAUCAAGAAACAGGAGCAAAAUAUUGCUAGAAACAAAUGCUUUUCCAAUCACCCGAAUGCACUGUCUCCUGCUGUAUAUGGCCAAUGUAUGGCACCAACCAGCAAUGUCCAACAAAAAAUGCUUUGGGCGUGUAUAGAUUGCUGCAUAUCACAAAACGGAAUCGAGGUUAUCGAAUUGAAAAACAGGCGUGUUCAAGUUAAAUUACACUAAAUUCCUUGACCUCUGUUGAAGACAAGAACAUCACCUCUUGGCUUGGAUUACAUCGAUUUCCUUUCAACCUUUAUAUCAUGGUACAAAACAUAAUUAAAAUCAGCAACAAAACUUAUUCCAGAUUCCUAAAGUACCAUCAUGAAUAAUAGGAACGAAAAGAAGGGUGUCUUUUACAAAUUGAAUGAUAAGGGAAGUCAAUGUAAUUUUACAAACUGAAUAUAGAGAAGUCCCAAUCCGCAUCAGUCUAGCUAUCAAAACUCAAGGAAAUGACAGUCAAAUGGAACUUGGCAUUGUUGCAGUGAAUGGAAACAAUCAAACGAUGGCUCAAUGGGCACUAAAGGAAUAUAGUUAAGGGAAUAGUCUGAUGGAUAAUGCAGUGGCUCUCAAACUUGCAAUGAUAAAGGCAAGAGAACAACAAUGGAGGAGGAUUGAAGUGGAAAUCCCACAACUGCAGCUGUUGAAGAUGAUAGAAGCCAACAAGGGCCAAAGACAUCAGACUCUUUUCUCACUUAAGAGGAUAUUCAUGACUUAAGCUCUAUGUUUGUGGAAUGCUCAUUUGUUUUGGCUAGAAGUGAAAGCAGUAUUAGAACAACUGAUGUGUGUAAUCAUGCAUUAAGCAUAUCUUUUCAUGAGGAAUGGUUAAAUCCUCAGUGUCUUUAGACACUUGUAUAGCUCCAAUUGAGCCUUUGCUCACUAAGUGUAUAGUUCAUACACAAAUCCAAUAAAAUCAUCUAUCAUUUCCUGGAAAAAAAAAAGAUGGGCAUUUAACCCUUUUAACAUGUAUACAGUCAUCAGCCUCAGAGUACACAUUAGACUACGGAGAUUUACACAUUAGCAAGCAAAAUACGCAUACAUCAAUGGUUGAGCAAUGCAGUAAGAUAUUGAAUCAUAAUCGAUUGUAUCCAGAGCUCAUGCUUUUCAACCCCCUCAUCCUCUCUUUCAUUGUCCUCUCCAGAAGAAUCAGAUUCACUAACACUUGGUAGCUCAGGUAGUAUUUUUGCUCCUUCGAUCAGCAAAGAAAGGCUCUCAGAAUAAGUAUCCACAAAGGAUGAAUCUUUAGUUCCCCAGAUUUCGAGAUGCUUAGAUUUUUGAGUUCUUGGAUCGUGUGAAACCAACUCUCCAUUUCUUUCUGUCAACAAUAUAUCACCAUCCUUCCCAAAGCUCAACACGAUCCCCAACCCUCCUUCACAGACCACAUUGUACAUAUUACUCCAAGACUUAAAAUUCCCAUACUCUUGCAUCAACCAAAUGGAACAACUUCCACUCCAAACACGCCUAUCGUAAUGAAGAACAGCAACUGAAUCCUUGCAAGCCAAUGUGCACAAAUCUACAGGAGACUCAUCAACCAAAGCAUCAGGCAACAGCAAUUCCUCAAAAACCUCGGUACUCAAAUCAAACAACAUGAUCAAAUUUUCCUUCCCAUUCUCCCUCUCCAUAUUCAUCCUAUAUGCAGUCCAAUGUACCUUCCCUCUCACAAAUGCUUGAGUCCAAAAGUACUCAACAACCCAAUUUUCAGGUACAUCAACAUCAAUCUCCCUCCAAUUCCCUACACUUAGUGCAAAAAUCUCAACUUUCGGAGGCAAGUUAUACCCAUUACUUCCCUGAACAUAGGCAAUUCUUACAACCUUAAAAUCAUUGUUUUUCACAUCAAAUCCAAAUCCAAGCACAAACAUAAAAGGCCCCAACUUAUCAAAAACAGCUUGGGGCGAAGGUAGAGUGAAUUUCCGUCUGAUCAGAGGGUUCCAAAACAUAAUAAGAUUUGUGUAUCCAAAUAGAUCAUCAGACAGACACAGCAAACCAUUGCUAAAACCAACAAUCCUGAAAUAAUAACGCGAUAAACCGCGAAGAGGGAAGCCUAUUUUAAUCCCAUUUUCCACAGCGAAUGCUUCAUUGUCAUAGUAUACUGUGUAAACUUCAGUCUUUUGAUCUUUAGAAUAGUGCCGAACUAGCAAUUUGUCAUCUGGUGUAGAGGGUUUUGUGAGGAAAGCUUGAUGGUUAUACAGAGAGAUAAAAUAAGCGCUAGAUAUUAAAGAAUUCCAUGAUUUUGAUACGCACCUCAAUCUUAGGAGAGAUUUUACAGGAACCCUUAUGAGGAUUUGGGUCAUAACCUCUUGAGGGAUGUAAUCUGACAUUUUUAAUUGGGCAUUUGUGAGUUAAAAGGGGGGAAUAAAGGGACUAAAAAUGACUGAUGAGUGAAGGCAAGACUUAUUGAGAAUGGAAUGAAAGAGUGCAUUUUCAGGCUUUUUAUGUGAUUUUGGGGAAUAGCCGAGUCAUGGCUGCCUUGCUUCUUCCUCGAUUAUGCAAUUUUCUUUUGAGAAAUAGACAGAUGAACAAGAGGAUUUCAGUUUGGGAUGAAGACAUCGAAGAAGGCAAGUGGAGCUGAGUCGGAGUUUCGUAGGCAAAGAGAUCGGCCUCUUGGCUUAGAUCAAGUGUGGAGACUGUUUUGUUAAUAUGUCCAGCGAUGAUUAUGUGAAUGUGAAGGCCUAAUUUGACAAGUACAGCAAAGUACAAAAUACCUCAUUAAUCGUAAUUAAUCAGUCCAGCCUUUAUAUUGUUGUUUCUAGAACAUUAUUAUCGUUUCUAGAAUUAAAUCUACAAUUGGGCAUAGGGGGUGCAUCAAUUAGAAAGUCUGAAUUCAGAAAAUUCGGUAAAUUGAAUUUGGUAAAUUUCAACCUAUUUCGUUUUUGAAUUCAAAAGUUCCAAAUUUAAUUUCUCUCGAAAUUCAAUUCGGAAUUCAUUAUUCUAUUUAAUUCAUAUUAAAAAAAUGAUUUGGAAUUUAUUGAAAAAAAAAACUAACCUAAAUGAGUCAGGUAUUACACUAUUAUUAUUAUAUAAUAUAAUGACUUACGUAUAUUAUAGCGACAUAGAUUAAUCAGUUUGAGGUAUUAUACUAUUAUUAUUAUAUAAUAUAAUGACUUAUAUAUAUAUAUAUAUAUUAUUGUAUAUACGAAAUUGAAAUUGAAUUAGGUAGUUGAAUUCUGAUUUCGAUUUGUGAGUUCGAAAUUGAAAUUUUCGCUUUUAAGAAGCAUGGUCUCAAAUUCGCCAUUUUCGAAUGCGAAAUCUCCACAUUCCUUUCUUUUUUCUGAAUUUUCGAUUUCAAAAUUCCAAAUUCAAAUUGAAUUAGAUCCAAAAAUUGAAAUUUUUUGGAUUUGCACACCCCUAAUUGGGCAGCAAAGGACAAUAAAAAGUCCAAGGAAUAUAAACAAGAAAAGGCACAUCAUUCUUCAAAUAUUUUUUAGUGCUAAAUCAUUCUAAAAGUAACACACGUUAUGAGAUAAGAUCAAAUUAUAGCAUAUGUUAGAGUAGUUAUAGUUGUCCAGCUUGACAAUAUAUCACUUUUGCCUGAUAAGACUCUUAAUGGAUUCUAUACAUUAUUUUUGGCCUUUUGUAGACUCUUAAUGAAUUUUCACGAUUUUGAUUGAUUAUUUCGCACAUAAUAAAGUUAGAAAACAAAAAUUAUACUGUAAUGUCAUAUUUCUCCUCUUUAAGUGGUCUUGAUAAGAGUCCUAAACUUCCCUCCUCACAUCCAACAAAAAAAAAAUUUUGAUAAUUAUAUUAGGGAGUUGUAAACUUUCGCCUUCCCAUCCAAAAAAAAAAAAAAAAAAAGACUUUUGAUAAUGUAUAUUAGGGGCGUAAGCGGGUUGGGUACCUCGCUAAUGCAACCUUUCUUUCCAUUUGUUUCAAUUAGAUCUUUUUUAUGUUUAUCUUUAAAAUCAAAAUCCAUUCCUUAAGCUAUUAAGUACUUGCCAAAAAUCCAUCCAAAAAAGUCUUCCUUUUUUUUUUUUUUUUUUUUUUUUAAUCUUUUCUUACCAUUUGUUUCACCCAUAAGCUAUUAAGUUAUUGUGUGCUGUCAAUAAAAGGAUUAUCAGGUCAGGACUUGUAUCAAUUUACAGCGCAAUUGGCAAACAAAUCCGUUGUCGUCCAGCGGUUAGGAUAUCUGGCUUUCACCCAGGAGACCCGGGUUCGAUUCCCGGCAACGGAAAAUCAAUUUUUCAUUUUUCCCGGACUGAGUUACCUCAAACAACUACAGAAAAAGCCCUGCCAUCGCUUGCUGCUGUUCCCAGAUUCUGCUUCCCCGUGCUCAGAUUGCCUUUCAACGCUUUUAAUUGCACAAUUAACUAUUAUCUGGUACAUUUUUAUGCGAUGAAAAACCUGUUCUUUUCCUUUCUGUUUAAAUUCAUUUAUUUUACUCAAUCAGCCUCUCUUACUGCUAUUCUUGUUUCUUGAUUCUCCAAUUUUAAUAUCUAUGUGUGUGUUAUCUAAUGAGUAAAGUUUGAGCUUCAAGAGAAAAAGGUUCUGUUACGGGGGAUUGGGAUGGCUUUUUUUUUUUAAUGGAUUUUUGGCCUUGUUGAGAAAUGCACAAGUUCUUAUCAAUUUGAUUAAUAGAAUCAAAUUUGGAACGUCUUUAGAUUGAAUGGCUGAAAUGCAUAAGAGUGACAUAAUAACUUACUGGUUAUGCAGGCUGAGAUUUUUGAAGGUGAAUUUGCAUUUUGCUGCAAUACAAAUGCAGAUAAUUCAAGUGGACAGUGUUUUGGCAAAAAAAGUAAUAAUAAAAAAAGUUGGGAGCUUUUGUACAGCCUCACCAAGUAUAUAAAAGAAAUUUCAGUUAGUUUAUAAAGUACAAAUCUUGUUGGUUAACUACAAAGAAUAAAAGGGGUUGGAUGAACUUGAAACUGGAUCUACUGUUAGCUCUUCACAGGAUGGAGAUUUGGUUGUACACGUUGGAAUGUUUAUUCAUUAGGUGGCGGCGGAGGCUUUUUUCCGUCUUUUGCCCUUCAGUGCCUUGGUUCUUAGAUUUAUUAUGAUAUUCCUGCAUUCUUGAUUGUACUGUGCUUGCUCAGCAGAAAAUGAUAUUGCAGAUAGCUUCAUUUUGAGCUGAGCUUUAUAAGUAACCACUAUGAUUUGAUCAAUCAUUUAUUAGACUAGAAAAAGUUCUAGCCUUUUAGUAACCUUAUGCUUUCGUAGUUUGGGAUUGGUUUCGAAUGAAUGCAAUGCGUUUAAGAUUUGCGGAUAUAGAUUUUAAGGCUAGUUGACUUUGUCAACAGAAUUAAUCAGACAUUUUUUGUGUUGACAUGGGAUGUGACCAUGAUAAUGUUACAUUCCAGCUAAGUUGCAUUAAUCAUCGUUGUUCUAGUGCAUAGAUCAUGCUAGAAAUGCUAAUGAAAUAUUAGUCCGUUUGCAAAGUGCAAAUUGAUAUCUUAAUCCUCAAGUAAACGAUCCUUGUCUCCUGCAUUUGCUCAAAUUGUCUAAUAUAAUGUGUGAAUGCAGAGGAAAGCUUUCAAUGGAGAGCUCUGAUGAUGGAAAGAAUGGUCCUCUGGAUGCCAAGGAGCAUUCUCUAACAUCUGAUGGCAAAAAAUCCAUAGACGAAGUUCUUAAUGGUCCAAAUGGCCUUUGCUCGUAGAACUUGCACAUGGAUAGGCACAUGUUUUAUGUAUUGUGUGACAUGUUACAAGCCAGAGGCCUCUUAUGUCACACAAUUAGAAUAAAGAUUGAGGAGCAGGCAGUGAUUGAUCAUGUUUAUAGUUGGGCACAGGAUAUGUACUCGAGCAGUUCAAGAGCUAUUUGGAUACUCAGGCGAAACCAUUAGCUGCCAUUUCAACAAUGUUCUAACGACAAUUAUGGCAAUUUCACGGGAUGUUUUUCCACCUCCUAGGCCUGAUGUUCCACCAGAAUUUGUGAAGAUCCUCAAUUUAUCCUCAUUUUCAGGUAACCUGAAAAUAAUACUCUGAUUUUUUGUAGUCUUUCUUAUUUGUCCUUGAAGUAUUUUUUGUCUUAAAAGUUACUGUUUAUCAAGUAGAAUUGUGUGGGAGCAGUUGACAGUAUAUAUUUGCCUGUGCAGUAGGAUUGGAUGAGCAAGUUCCUUUCUGGAACAAGAGCGGUUUUCUUUCACAAAAUGUACGGGCUGUAUGCUCCUUCAGUAUGAAAUUUCACUAUGUUCUAGCUGGUUGGGAAGGUUCAGCACCUGAUAUACAAGUUUUAGGUUCUGCUGUCACAAAAGGUAACAUAUUGCAAGUCCCCGAUGGUACAUCAUCUUUAUAGGAACUGAAACUGAGCUAGCGGAAACGGUUUCACGCACACUGAAUUACCAUUUGGUGAGAACGUUCUGGAUGACUCAGUAUUCUCCCUUGAGUUCUUCACUUCUGAGUUUUUUAUCACCUUCAAUCUUAACAACAGCAUGUUAAAAGUCCCAUCUAAUGUUUGUCUUUCAAAACUUCGUUCCUUGUAUAUCUCUGCUGUUGAGUUGAAGAAUGAUGCCUUUAUAACCUCUAAUAGCCGACAAGGAAUCAUCUUUAACUUGCCUGUCCUUGAAGAGCUUCGGUUUAAUUAUUGUACAUGAUGGAAUUUGAUGAUACUUCCAAAAGAUGCUCCUUUACUCAAAAGAUUCGAAAUGAUUGGCCCCCCUUAUAGAUCUGGAAAUGGUGCAAUGUAUGAAGGCGUUAAAGUAGAGAUUUGUGGAGGCAACCUUGCUGAUGUUAAAUGUUCAGUUUUUUUCUUUGAGGAGUGUUUUCUCCAACCGAUUGACUCUUGUUAAUGCUUGUUUCAAGUAUGAUGCUUCUAUUAUGCAUUAUGAUGAUCAUUGGAGGAGAAAGAUGGUGUUGUGAGCUUGUGCACUUUUAGGUGGAUUCUCUAUCACGGGAUGCCUUGAGCUAUCUGGUGACUUCCUCGUGGUACACAAGUUUCUUUCUACAAGUUAAUAUUGUUAAUAGUAGUAAUUUUGCAUUUACAACUGUUGUUUGUACACUUAGAUAAUGUCUGCUUAUUUUUUUUAUCCCCUCAUUUCCUGCUUCAGUCUUGUUAUGUUUUGGUUAUGAUUUGUUUUGCUAUUGUUCAAGACUUUGCUCUUCUUGCUUUUCCUUUAUUCAUUCGUCGUUUUGUCUGUUGCUACUGUCAAUGUGUUAAUUUGCUAGCUAGUAAUUACAAAAUUUGCUUACUGAAGAAGUUGUUCAAUUGUAUAUAUGACCUCAAUGUACUCAGCUACUAUAAGAAACUAAGGAAGGAAACAGCUAAUCUUCUUGGCCAGUAUGUAUUGGUAGCCCAUUAAUUUAAGACACGGUAUUGAGCAGGUAUGAAGGUGAAAACCCGAUAUUUCUCUUUGAUUGAGUGCACCCGGGACUUGAUAUUUAGUUGUUGAUGGAAACUAAGCGUUGUAAUCUAGAAUAAAAGGUACAUAACCAUCAAGUUUGAAGUAACUUGGGAUGCGUAUGCAGUCAAUAACAAUAGGUUGAUGGAGAGAUUUUUCAUGGCUUGUAAUAACUUGAAUUGUCUUGGCAAUUUUGGUUGUCUUCCUGCGCUGAAUUCUGAAUUAUCUUGCUGAACAUUGGCACAUUGCCCUCUUAUUGAAUCCAUCAAUUCUUCCCAAGUUGCUGUCCUAGGCGGAACCAUUAGGUCCUCUUCCAGUCUUUGAUAAGCUUAACUGCCUCAAAGUGUCAGCAGUGAGCGGUGCCAAGUGUGACAAGCCAUUGGUGAACUUGCUCAAAAGGGCACCAUAGCUGGAAUCUCUGAUCAUUUCUUCGGUAAGUAUUGAAGUUAUUUCUGAUCCCCCUAAAUUCACCAAAGGCUUUAGAAAUCAGUCUAUAUUGGGAUGUUUCUUGUCCAAAAAAAUGAUAAAAUUUUAGGAAAGCAGUCGAGUCAAAAUGUAAUUAACUACUGAUUACGUCAUUAAUCCACCUUGAUCUUGGAAAUUCUAAUAGACUAGUACCCGAGCUCCAUGGAACUUGUCAAUUGUAUACAAGCUCAGCCAGAUGAUUAUGUACCAGAAGUCAAUUGAAUCCAUUAAUCCAAGCUUGAGCUCCACUAAGCUAAUUCAUGAAAAGGCUGGAGUUGUCUCUUAAGUAUGCAAGCAUCAAGUCUAAUCAAGCUACGUUACUCAAAACUGCAGCUGCUUUGGAAAAUCAACUCCCAUACAAGAGUCUUCAUUCAAAACAAAAUGGUACCAAAAAAGAAAGAAAGAAAGGAUAAUGAAAGAAAGUGGAUUGGGAAGGGCAGUUCAAAGAAAGUGAAAACGAAGACAAAAAGGUUUCACCCAUCUCAGCAAGUGCUGCACAAACAUCAGCUCCCCAGCAGACAUUUACACAAAAGGAUCCUGCAAUGAAACAGGAUGGGGUCAAGGUCAUGGCAGUCCACAUUGCAAUUAUGAAGUAGAGACAAGAUAUCUAUCUAGACAUUUUUUCCCAAUUCACAGUAUUUAGAGAUAAAGCCCAGUUCCAAGCCAUCCCUUUAGAGUUGUCUCCUACAUGGUUAAACACCUGCAGAAGCCAAUACUACAAUGCCUUGGAUGCAUCAUUUUGCUGACCAGAUAGAAUGAGGUUCACUGAAUUCAUAAAACAGAUGCAUAAAUAUCAUUCAGGUGAAAAAUACAACAAAGUUUCCUUCAAAUUUCGCUAUAGUUAAAAUAACGUCUCCUCUCAAACUUCAGAUAAACCCUCCGUACAACUUUGACACCAGUCACCAAUUCAUUUGGCAUUCCUAAAUUACAACCAGGCAUAACCAAAAGGAGCAGGUCAUUUAAAUUAACGUCUACGAAGAACACAGUACACAUCAUUUUGGAUCCACGAUAGAGUCAGUCGACGUAGUUUUAGAAACUAACAGCAAAUCCUAAAAUAAAAACUCAGGAGAAGUAGUUCUAGUUUUGCUAAAUUUACCAUUGCUAAAUGGUCUGUGAAAAAAUCCUUUUCGGGUUCAUCAAAUGGUUAGUCAGGUCUUUCCCUUGAUAUCCAGCUGUUUAGCAGCCCUGGAUUGGAUGAUAAAGAAGUUGUGAAGCAUACAAAAAGGAAGUUGAUCGAGUUUGCAAGCAAGCAGAAAUUCCAAAAGACAUGAAUGCCCAAGGAUAGAUACAAAAAUCAGUCUAAAAUCAUGUAGAAGCUAUUCAAAUUCAAAUAUAUCAGCAGUUGAACAUUUACCUGCAUCAUUGUUGUUUGUUCAAGCAGAGCUUUCAGAAACUCAACCAUCAUGGACUGCUUCCAGAGCUCAUUGGCUUCAACUCUAUCAUCCUCUCCUUCAUUUUCAUCUCCAGAAGAAUCAGAUUCGGCCACAUUUGGCAGACCUUCCAGUACUUGUUCACCAUCAAUCAGCAAAGCUAGGCUCUCUGUAUACCUAUCCACAAAAAAUGAAUCUUUGGUACCCAGAAUUCCAAUGUACUUAAUUUCUUGAAUCCUUGGGUUUGGAUCAUAUGAAUACAAGUCUCCAUCUCUUGCUGUCAACAAUAUAGUACCAUCCUUCCUAAAACUCAAUAUCCUCCCCAGUCCUCCUUCAAAAUCUACUGUGUACAUUUUGCUCCAAGACUUUACAUCACCAUAUGUUUGCAUCAACCAAAUGGUACAGCAUCCAGUCUCAACAUGCUUAUCAUAAUGAAGAACAGCAAUUGAAUCUUUGCAAACAGAAGUACACAAAUUUAUGGGACACUCAACAACCAAAGCAUCAGGCAACAACAAUUCCUCAAACACCUCGUUACUCAAAUCAAAUGCCAUGAUCAAAUUCUCCGUCCUAUACUCCUCCACAUUCAACCUAUAAGCAACCCAAUGCACCUUUCCAUUAACAUAAGCCUGAGUCCAGAAGUGCUCAAUGAUCCAAUUUUGAGGCAAAUUAACUUCAAUCUCCCUCCAAUUACCUGCGCUUAGUGCGAAAACUUCAACUAUUGGAGGCAAGUUAUACCCACUGUCUGACUGAUCAUAAGCAAUUCUUACAACCUUAAAAUCAUUACUUUUCAAGUCAUAUCCAAAUCCAAGCACAAACAUAAAGGGCCCUAAGUUCUUGUAAAUAGCUCGGGGCAAAGGAAGAGUGAUUUUCCGCCUGAUCAAAGGGUUCCACAGCAUAAUAACAUUUGUGUAUCCAAAAAUGUCAUCAGACAAACACAAUAACCCAUUGGAGAAACCCACAAUCCUAAAAUAAAACUGAGCUAAACGGCGAAAAGGGAAGUCUAUUUUGACACCACUUGCCACAGUGAAAUCUUCAUUGUCGUGGUGUACAGAGUAAAGUUCAGUCCUUUGGGGUUUGGAAUAGUGCCUGACAAGCACUCUAUCAUCUGGGACGGCGGGUUCUGAGAGAAAAGCUUGACGGGUAUGCAGGGAAAUGAAAUCAGAGCUGGAGAUUAAAGAUUUCCAUGAUUUGGAUACGCACCUGAAUCUUAGGAGAGACUUUGCAGGUACCCUUGCGAGGAUACGGGUUACAACUUCUUCAGGCAUGUAAUCGGACAUUUUUUCAAGGCAUGUAGUCGAGCAAAAUGUUCUGAGUAGGAUAGUCGUAGUAGUGUGGAGUUUUCUAGUAAGAACCUGGGCAAUUAGAAAGGAACUGUAGAUAUCAUCGUCAAAUACACUCGCGACAAAUGCGCGGGUGAAUAAGGGUCAGAGAAAAUAAGAGCCUCUCCCCCAUGGCUCGUGGCUGAGUUGAGUUGGUUAUGUUUCAAGAAAACGGAAUGAUUUUUUUUCCCUUUUUGUUUUAAUUUUUCUUUUCAAGAUUAGUAAGUGAUUUAAGGAGGAUGCUUUCUUGGCUAGAUUUUAGUUAGGGCAGGAUCGUUUAAAAAAAAAAAGAGAUGAUAUUGGUAGUUCCAAAAAAAAAAAAUUUUCCAAGCGCCCCAUCCUUCAUUUUUGGUUAAUUAAAUGACAAAAAAAUUGUUUGUAAAUUGUCCAGUGUGCAUUUCUCGGUAACUCGUAUUAUUUUAUCUCUUUGAUUUUUUUUCAAAUUUUUUAUUUUAUCUCUUACAUCUGCCCUAAAUUGCUGUAGUAUUAAGAAUGGAGAAAAUUUUUUAUAACAAUGACUGAAUAAAUGUUGUUUGAGUAUGAAUUGUUUAGUAAUUCUUGAUUAAAGUACAAGCCUUCGUAGUUGAGAGCUGUCUGUAAUUUUUGACAUGUUCAUUUGUUAGGUGGAACUUUGCAAAUUUAACGAAAUUUAUAAUUAUUUUAUAUCUUUUUUUUUAAGUUUUAAGACUUUGUAAUUAAAAUUUUAUAGGUCUACACAAAAAAUAGACCAUUUACUAUGCUUUGGGGGUACUUUUUGCAUUUAAAUGUUAGAAAAUCUAGUUUAUGGCUCAAUUCGUUGUUGUCAAUAAUAAUGAACAAGGAUGGAACUGGAGAUUGCCUUAAAAAAAAAAUUUUUGGAGAGCCAAUAUCAUUGGACAUAUAUUAAAAAAAAAAAACAAAUUUACCAACCAUCUCUCCUUAGUCAACUUACCGAGAAAAUCAUAUGGUUAAUAAAAUCGUUGUAUUGCAGUGUUUUUGCAUCAUUAAUAAAAUCGUAUAUAGUUAAGCAACAGUUUGUAACUCUCAUUUGAUAAUAAGCCUAAUCAAAUCAAACACUUGAGUGAUUAAACUUGUUCAGUUGUUUAUUUAUUUACCGAGUUUGAAAUUGUGUUCAAAUUCGAUUUAUUUUUUUCCAUUGAGCCAGACUCAAGUGAUCUUUUAUUUGGUUGAGUUCGAGUAGUUUGAAUUUUUACAUGUAAAAUUUUAAAUUUUAUGCUAAUUAAACCAAACGAGUUGAAUUUAAAAUUUUACCGAACAUAAAAUGAAGUAUCAUUUAUGUUUGACUUGAUUCGUAUUCAAAUCAAAUGGAACGAGCUCUUAUGAGUUGAACCAGAUUUGACUUUAGAGUAUCUAGUUACUUGUCUUUCAGCCCUAAGAACAUUGCUGCUGUUGUCAAAUGUCUAGUUGAAGUGAAGUAGAUAAGACAGUGAAGUACUUGUCCUGCUGACGCUUUUGAAAUCAAAUCUCUUCCGAAUACUCUCUUUUCACUUCCAACAUUUGGAUAUGCAUCUGCACACAAAUUUUUUUUUUUUUUUUGGGAGCAUAUGAACAGAAGUUGAAUCUAUCUAAAGCAAUCUCUGCAAUGAUUUUAACCAGGCAGGGCCUAAUCUUGAUUGACAUUCAGCAUUUGCAGAAGUUUAUACACAGGUAAAGAAAGAAAGAUGCUACUUGUUAUUCUCUUCUACGUUUAAUCCUUCAAGUCUUUUCAUGCUUUGAUCUUCUAGCUAUCAAUCAUGACAUCCUUAUUAGAUUGAAUCAUGCAAAGAACCUGUAACAAUGUGUAUAUGUACAUCUUCAAUUCUCAAUAGAACCAGAUUUAGAGUAUUAGACCUCUGUAGUUGACUGCAAAUCAAGACUGCAGUCCUGUGGAAACUAUUAGGACCCAAAUGCUUGAAGUAUCUUUAGACAAAACCAAGGAAACACUCCAAUACAGCCGAAUGACCGUGAUCAAGUGAAUAAAAGAGAUGUCAUAGUUGUUGUCCUUCCCUUAUUGAAAAGAUGUAAAAUUUGCCAAAAGACAGUUUAAUAUUGAACUCAAGAAGGAAGACCUAUAAAUGAGUAGAGUGGAUUGAUGGACCAUUUUAGCUUAGUGCAAUUUUGCCACUGAACUGACUUAGGCUAUGCUAACCACAGUAUUGACCUUUUGGACAUUGUGGCUUGCAGCAUUACUAUUCUUAUAGGCCAUUAUUCUGCAAAACUAGCAGACAGGUUGUGGCUUGUUGAUAGAGCUAAAUCAAGAAACAGGAGCAAAAUAUUGCUAGAAACAAAUGCUUUUCCAAUCACCCGAAUGCACUGUCUCCUGCUGUAUAUGGCCAAUGUAUGGCACCAACCAGCAAUGUCCAACAAAAAAUGCUUUGGGCGUGUAUAGAUUGCUGCAUAUCACAAAACGGAAUCGAGGUUAUCGAAUUGAAAAACAGGCGUGUUCAAGUUAAAUUACACUAAAUUCCUUGACCUCUGUUGAAGACAAGAACAUCACCUCUUGGCUUGGAUUACAUCGAUUUCCUUUCAACCUUUAUAUCAUGGUACAAAACAUAAUUAAAAUCAGCAACAAAACUUAUUCCAGAUUCCUAAAGUACCAUCAUGAAUAAUAGGAACGAAAAGAAGGGUGUCUUUUACAAAUUGAAUGAUAAGGGAAGUCAAUGUAAUUUUACAAACUGAAUAUAGAGAAGUCCCAAUCCGCAUCAGUCUAGCUAUCAAAACUCAAGGAAAUGACAGUCAAAUGGAACUUGGCAUUGUUGCAGUGAAUGGAAACAAUCAAACGAUGGCUCAAUGGGCACUAAAGGAAUAUAGUUAAGGGAAUAGUCUGAUGGAUAAUGCAGUGGCUCUCAAACUUGCAAUGAUAAAGGCAAGAGAACAACAAUGGAGGAGGAUUGAAGUGGAAAUCCCACAACUGCAGCUGUUGAAGAUGAUAGAAGCCAACAAGGGCCAAAGACAUCAGACUCUUUUCUCACUUAAGAGGAUAUUCAUGACUUAAGCUCUAUGUUUGUGGAAUGCUCAUUUGUUUUGGCUAGAAGUGAAAGCAGUAUUAGAACAACUGAUGUGUGUAAUCAUGCAUUAAGCAUAUCUUUUCAUGAGGAAUGGUUAAAUCCUCAGUGUCUUUAGACACUUGUAUAGCUCCAAUUGAGCCUUUGCUCACUAAGUGUAUAGUUCAUACACAAAUCCAAUAAAAUCAUCUAUCAUUUCCUGGAAAAAAAAAAGAUGGGCAUUUAACCCUUUUAACAUGUAUACAGUCAUCAGCCUCAGAGUACACAUUAGACUACGGAGAUUUACACAUUAGCAAGCAAAAUACGCAUACAUCAAUGGUUGAGCAAUGCAGUAAGAUAUUGAAUCAUAAUCGAUUGUAUCCAGAGCUCAUGCUUUUCAACCCCCUCAUCCUCUCUUUCAUUGUCCUCUCCAGAAGAAUCAGAUUCACUAACACUUGGUAGCUCAGGUAGUAUUUUUGCUCCUUCGAUCAGCAAAGAAAGGCUCUCAGAAUAAGUAUCCACAAAGGAUGAAUCUUUAGUUCCCCAGAUUUCGAGAUGCUUAGAUUUUUGAGUUCUUGGAUCGUGUGAAACCAACUCUCCAUUUCUUUCUGUCAACAAUAUAUCACCAUCCUUCCCAAAGCUCAACACGAUCCCCAACCCUCCUUCACAGACCACAUUGUACAUAUUACUCCAAGACUUAAAAUUCCCAUACUCUUGCAUCAACCAAAUGGAACAACUUCCACUCCAAACACGCCUAUCGUAAUGAAGAACAGCAACUGAAUCCUUGCAAGCCAAUGUGCACAAAUCUACAGGAGACUCAUCAACCAAAGCAUCAGGCAACAGCAAUUCCUCAAAAACCUCGGUACUCAAAUCAAACAACAUGAUCAAAUUUUCCUUCCCAUUCUCCCUCUCCAUAUUCAUCCUAUAUGCAGUCCAAUGUACCUUCCCUCUCACAAAUGCUUGAGUCCAAAAGUACUCAACAACCCAAUUCUCAGGUACAUCAACAUCAAUCUCCCUCCAAUUCCCUACACUUAGUGCAAAAAUCUCAACUUUCGGAGGCAAGUUAUACCCAUUACUUCCCUGAACAUAGGCAAUUCUUACAACCUUAAAAUCAUUGUUUUUCACAUCAAAUCCAAAUCCAAGCACAAACAUAAAAGGCCCCAACUUAUCAAAAACAGCUUGGGGCGAAGGUAGAGUGAAUUUCCGUCUGAUCAGAGGGUUCCAAAACAUAAUAAGAUUUGUGUAUCCAAAUAGAUCAUCAGACAGACACAGCAAACCAUUGCUAAAACCAACAACCCUGAAAUAAUAACGCGAUAAACCGCGAAAGGGGAAGCCUAUUUUAAUCCCAUUUUCCACAGCGAAUGCUUCAUUGUCAUAGUGUACUGUGUAAACUUCAGUCUUUUGAUCUUUAGAAUAGUGCCGAACUAGCAAUUUGUCAUCUGGGGUAGAGGGUUUUGUGAGGAAAGCUUGAUGGUUAUACAGAGAGAUAAAAUAAGCGCUAGAUAUUAAAGAAUUCCAUGAUUUUGAUACGCACCUCAAUCUUAGGAGAGAUUUUACAGGAACCCUUAUGAGGAUUUGGGUCAUAACCUCUUGAGGGAUGUAAUCUGACAUUUUUAAUUGGGCAUUUGUGAGUGAAAAGGGGGGAAUAAAGGGACUAAAAAUGACUGAUGAGUGAAGGCAAGACUUAUUGAGAAUGGAAUGAAAGAGUGCAUUUUCAGGCCUUUUAUGUGAUUUUGGGGAAUAGCCGAGUCAUGGCUACCUUGCUUCUUCCUCGAUUAUGCAAUUUUCUUUUGAGAAAUAGACAGAUGAACAAGAGGAUUUCAGUUUGGGAUGAAGACAUCGAAGAAGGCAAGUGGAGCUGAGUCGGAGUUUCGUAGGCAAAGAGAUCGGCCUUUUGGCUUAGAUCAAGUGUGGAGAGUGUUUUGUUAAUGUGUCCAGCGAUGAUUAUGUGAAUGUGAAGGCCUAAUUUGAUAAGUACAGCAAAGUACAAAAUACCUCAUUAAUCGUAAUUAAUCAGUCCAGCCUUUAUUGUUGUUUCUAGGACAUAUUAUUAUCGUUUCUAGAAUUAAAUCUACAAUGGGGCAUAGGGGGGUGCAUCAAUUAGAAAGUCUGAAUUCAGAAAAUUCGGUAAAUUGAAUUUGGUAAAUUUCAGCCUAUUUCGUUUUUUGAAUUCAAAAGUUUCAAAUUUAAUUUCGCUCUAAAUUCAAUUCGGAAUUCGAUAUUCUACUGAAUUCAUAUUAAAAAUAAUGAUUUGGAAUUUAUUGAAAAAAAAAUAACCUAAAUGAGUCAGGUGAUUACACUAUUAUUAUUAUUAUAUAAUAUAAUGACUUGCGUAUAUUAUAGCGACAUAGAUUAAUCAGUUUGAGGUAUUAUACUAUUAUUAUUAUAUAAUAUAAUGACAUAUAUAUAUAUAUUAUUGUAUAUACGAAAUUGAAAUUGAAUCAGGUAAUUGAAUUCCGAUUUCGAUUUGUGAAUUCGAAUUUGAAAGAAGCAUGGUCUCGAAUUCGAACCAAUUUCACUGCUUUCAAAUACGAAAUCUCCACAUUCCUUUCUCUUUUUCGAAUUUUCGAUUUCAAAUUUCCAAAUUCAAAUUGAAUUAGACCCAAAAAUUGGAAUUUUUUUGGAUUUGCACGCCCCUAAUUGGGCAGCAAAGGACAAUAAAAAGUCCAAGGAAUAUAAACAAGAAAAGGCACAUCAUUCUUCAAAUAAUUUUUAGUGCUAAUUAAUCAUUCUUAAAGUAAUAUAUGUUAUGAGAUAAGAUCAAAUUAUAGCAUGUGUUAGAGUAGUUAUAGUUGUCCAGCUUGACAAUAUAUCACAUUUGCCUGAUAAGACUCUCUUAAUGGAUUCUAUACAUUAUUUUUGGCCUUUUGUAGACCUGGAAUUUUCGCGAUUUUGAUUGAUUAUUUCGCACAUAAUAAAGUUAGAAAACAAAAAAAUUAUACUGUAAUGUCAUAUUUCUCCUCUUUAAGUGGUCUUGAUAAGAGUCCUAAACUUCCCUCCUCACAUCCAACCAAAAAAAAAAAAAAGACUUUUGAUAAUGCAUAUUAGGGGUGUAAGCGGGUUGGAUAUCUCGCUAAUGCAACCUUUCUUUCCAUUUGUUUCAAUGAGAUCUUUUUCUUGUUUUUCUUUAAAAUCAAAAUCCAUUCCUUAAGCUAUUAAGUACUUGCCAAAAAUCCAUCCAAAAAAGUCUUCUUUUUUUUUUAAAAAAAAAUCUUUUCUUACCAUUUGUUUCACCCAUAAGCUAUUAAGUUAUUGUGUGCAGUCAAUAAACGGAUUAUCAGUUCAGGAGUUGUAUCAUUUUACAGAGCAAUUAGCAAACAAUUCCGUUGUCGUCCAGCGGUUAGGAUAUCUGGCUUUCACCCAGGAGACCCGGGUUCGAUUCCCGGCAACGGAAAAUGAAUUUUUCAUUUUUCCCGGACUGAGUUACCUCAAACAACUACAGAAAAAGCCCUGCCAUCGCUUGCUGCUGUUCCCAGAUUCUGCCAGAUUGCCUUUUAACGCUUUUAAUUGCACAAUUAACUAUUAUCUGGUACAUUUUUAUGCGAUGAAAAACCUGUUCUUUUCCUUUCUGUUUAAAUUCAUUUAUUUUACUCAAUCAGCCUCUCUUACUGCUAUUCUUGUUUCUUGAUUCUCCAAUUUUAAUAUCUAUGUGUGUGUUAUCUAAUGAGUAAAGUUUGAGCUUCAAGAGAAAAAGGCUCUGUUACGGGGGAUUGGGAUCGCUUUUUUUUUUUUUUUUUUUUAAUGGAUUUUUGGCCUUGUUGAGAAAUGCACAAGUUCUUAUCAAUUUGAUUAAUAGAAUCAAAUUUGGAACGUCUUUAGAUUGAAUGGCUGAAAUGCAUAAGAGUGACAUAAUAACUUACUGGUUAUGCAGGCUGAGAUUUUUGAAGGUGAAUUUGCAUUUUGCUGCAAUACAAAUGCAGAUAAUUCAAGUGGACAGUGUUUUGGCAAAAAAAGUAAUAAUAAAAAAAGUUGGGAGCUUUUGUACAGCCUCACCAAGUAUAUAAAAGAAAUUUCAGUUAGUUUAUAAAGUACAAAUCUUGUUGGUUAACUACAAAGAAUAAAAGGGGUUGGAUGAACUUGAAACUGGAUCUACUGUUAGCUCUUCACAGGAUGGAGAUUUGGUUGUACACGUUGGAAUGUUUAUUCAUUAGGUGGCGGCGGAGGCUUUUUUCCGUCUUUUGCCCUUCAGUGCCUUGGUUCUUAGAUUUAUUAUGAUAUUCCUGCAUUCUUGAUUGUACUGUGCUUGCUCAGCAGAAAAUGAUAUUGCAGAUAGCUUCAUUUUGAGCUGAGCUUUAUAAGUAACCACUAUGAUUUGAUCAAUCAUUUAUUAGACUAGAAAAAGUUCUAGCCUUUUAGUAACCUUAUGCUUUCGUAGUUUGGGAUUGGUUUCGAAUGAAUGCAAUGCGUUUAAGAUUUGCGGAUAUAGAUUUUAAGGCUAGUUGACUUUGUCAACAGAAUUAAUCAGACAUUUUUUGUGUUGACAUGGGAUGUGACCAUGAUAAUGUUACAUUCCAGCUAAGUUGCAUUAAUCAUCGUUGUUCUAGUGCAUAGAUCAUGCUAGAAAUGCUAAUGAAAUAUUAGUCCGUUUGCAAAGUGCAAAUUGAUAUCUUAAUCCUCAAGUAAACGAUCCUUGUCUCCUGCAUUUGCUCAAAUUGUCUAAUAUAAUGUGUGAAUGCAGAGGAAAGCUUUCAAUGGAGAGCUCUGAUGAUGGAAAGAAUGGUCCUCUGGAUGCCAAGGAGCAUUCUCUAACAUCUGAUGGCAAAAAAUCCAUAGACGAAGUUCUUAAUGGUCCAAAUGGCCUUUGCUCGCAGAACUUGCACAUGGAUAGGCACAUGUUUUAUGUAUUGUGUGACAUGUUACAAGCCAGAGGCCUCUUAUGUCACACAAUUAGAAUAAAGAUUGAGGAGCAGGCAGUGAUUGAUCAUGUUUAUAGUUGGGCACAGGAUCUGUACUCGAGCAGUUCAAGAGCUAUUUGGAUACUCUGGCGAAACCAUUAGCUGCCAUUUCAACAAUGUUCUAAUGACAAUUAUGGCAAUUUCAUGGGAUGUUUUUCCACCUCCUAGGCCUGAUGUUCCACCAGAAUUUGUGAAGAUCCUCAAUUUAUCCUCAUUUUCAGGUAACCUGAAAAUAAUACUCUGAUUUUUUGUAGUCUUUCUUAUUUGUCCUUGAAGUAUUUUUUGUCUUAAAAGUUACUGUUUAUCAAGUAGAAUUGCGUGGGAGCAGUUGACUGUAUAUUUUUGCCUGUGCAGUAGGAUUGGAUGAGCAAGUUCCUUUCUGGAACAAGAGUGGUUUUCUUUCACAAAAUGUACGGGCUGUAUGCUCCUUCAGUAUGAAAUUUCACUAUGUUCUAGCUGGUUGGGAAGGUUCAGCACCUGAUGUACAAAUUUUAGGUUCUGCUGUCACAAAAGGUAACAUAUUGCAAGUCCCCGAUGGUACAUCAUCUUUAUAGGAACUGAAACUGAGCUAGCGGAAACGGUUUCACGCAUACUGAAUUACCAUUUGGUGAGAACGUUCUGGAUGACUCAGUAUUCUCCCAUGAGUUCUUCACUUCUGAGUUUUUGAUCACCUUCAAUCUUAACAACAGCAUAUUAAAAGUCCCAUCUAAUGUUUGUCUUUCAAAGCUUUGUUCCUUGUAUCUCUCUGCUGUUGAGUUGAAGAAUGAUGCCUUUAUAACCUCUAAUAGCCGACAAGGAAUCAUCUUUACCUUGCCUGUCCUUGAAGAGCUUCGGUUUAAUUAUUGUACAUGGUGGAAUUUGAUGAUUCUUAAAAUAGAUGCUCCUUUACUCAAAAGAUUUGAAAUGAUUGGUUCCCCUUAUAGAUCUGGAAAUGGUGCAAUAUAUGAAGACGUCAAAAUAGAGAUUUGUGGAGGCAACCUUGCUGAUGUUAAAUGUUGGGGUUUUUUCUUUGAGGGAGUGUUUUCUCCAACUGAUUGACUCUUGUUAAUGCUUGUUUCAAAUAUGAUAUUUCUAUUAUGCAUUAUGAUGAUCAUUGGAGGAGAAAGAUGGUGUUGUGAGCUUGUGCACUUUUAGGUGGAUUCUCUGCUAUCACGGGAUGCCUUGAGCUAUCGUGGUACACAAGUUUCUUUCUACAAGUUACUAUUGUUAAUAGUAGUAAUUUUGCAUUCACAACUGUUGUCUGUACACUUAGAUAAUGUCUGCUUAGAUGCGUUGGUUAUGAUUUGUUUUGCUAUUGUUCAAGACUUUGCUGUUCUUGCUUUUCCUUUAUUCAUUCGUCAUUUUGUCUGUUGCUACUGUCAAUGUGUUAAUUUGCAAGCUAGUAAUUACAAAAUUUGCUUACUGAAGAAGUUGUUCAAUUGUAUAUAUGACCUCAAUGUACUCAGCUACUAUAAGAAACUAAGGAAGGAAACAGCUAAUCUUCUUGGCCAGUAUGUAUUGGUAGCCCAUUAAUUUAAGACACGGUAUUGAGCAGGUAUGAAGGUGAAAACCCGAUAUUUCUCUUUGAUUGAGUGCACCUGGGACUUGAUAUUUAGUUGUUGAUGGAAACUAAGCGUUGUAAUCUUGAAUGAAAGGUACAUAACCAUCAAGUUUGAAGUAACUUGGGAUGUGUCUGCAGUCAAUAACAAUAGGUUGAUGGAGAGAUUUUGUAAUAACUGAAUUGUCUUGGCAAUUUUGGUUGUCUUCCUGUGCUGAAUUCUGAAUUAUCUUGCUGAACUUUAGCACAUUGCCCUCUUAUUGAAUCCAUCAAUUCUUCCCAAGUUGCUGUCCUAGGUGGAACCAUUAGGUCCUCUUCCAGUCUUGGAUAAGCUUAACUGCCUCAAAGUGUCAGCAGUGAGAGGUGCCAAGUGCGACAAGCCAUUGGUGAACUUGCUCAAAAGGGCACCAUAUCUGGAAUCUCUGAUCAUUUCUUAGGCAAGUAUUGAAGUUAUUUCUGAUCCCCCUAAAUUCACCAAAGGCUUUAGAAAUCAGUCAAUAUUUACUCCCUCCCAUCCUUCUUUGUGCCUGUGCCUCAUCGUUCUUGUUCUCUUCUCCUCCCCUUCUCUCUUUUGACUGCACUGCAUACUGGGCCAUCAUUUCUAAUAUAGUACUUGUCUUUGAUAUGUCCUUCUAGUUCCUGAUUUGUAGCGGCCAUCUGGGGUUGGCGGUGACUAUGAGGGAAUUGAUUUUGAGCCAGCAAAUUUUAUGAUUCACCUUAAGGUCAUCAAGUUUGAUAACAAGUUUCAGAGGCAAGGAAGUUCAGAUUCAGUCAGUGAAGUGUUUGCUCGAACAUGGCUCAGUACUUGGAAAAGCCUGUGUUAUGUCUGUUUUCUGUUCAUUUGUAUAACAAUGCAUAUAUGAAGGAUGUAUAUGUUUGCAAUCAAAUUGAAACUAUUAUUUCAAAAUUAAAAGUUAGAUACAAAGAAAUUGAAACUAGCAUGCGAAAUCUUGUUGAUCAACAGUAAAUAGGGUGGAUUAUUAAACUUGUACUUGUUUCUGGAACAGAGUACUAACCAUUGAACUUCUUAUUUCAAUUUCCUGUAGCUUUGUGCUGUGCUGUAUAAUGAAUUAUAUCAUACAUGAUUGGCAGCCCGGUUCAAGAUGAUAGGAGAAGGAAUAGCGCAUGAAAAGGUUUGGGAAAUUGAGAUUAAAAAUUCGGAGUGGACGUUUCCUUCCCCACUUAGAAGUGAUCAGUCCCAAACCCAUAUGAAUAUAACUUCUGCCCAGAUCAUUGUUCUGGUUUUUUCUUGUACAAAGGUUGUGCUGCAUCUUAAAGAGAGACUAAAAUGUUAAAAUUAUUCCAAAAUGAAACUGAAGAAAAACUCUGAUUAUACUUCAAGAGCAUGUGAGCACCAAGAAUCAGAUCCCUACUCCACCUUUUUUCCGGAUAAGAAUGUCAAACAUCCUUGUUUGGCUUAUGGUUUUCCGUAGAAAAUUUUUUUACGUUUUUUUGUAAAAAUAUUUUUUAGUUAUCUUUUUUUUUUUAAUUUUAUGUACAUCAAAUCGCUAUAGUAUAUAUUUUUUUUAAUAAAAACUUAUAAGAAUAGCAAUCCAAACCCUGAUAUCAUAAAUGUAUUCUGUACGCGAUCGUUUUGAUUGGACAUGCAACAAAUAGAACUGUUGGUCUAAAAAUAACUGAAGUCUGAAGAUAUACAGACAGAUGUUGCAUCUUAGUUAACAUAUUUUCAUCAGUAGACAAGCAAAAUUUAGGAGCUUCAGAAUAAACAGUGAGCAGAUGUUUCUGAAGCUUUCACGCCAACUACAAUGCCCCAAGUUGCACCGAGGCUCACAGAAAACAAAAUUUGCAUAUGUUGUCCUGUCCAAUGCUGGAAUAAUCAUGUCAGUAGAUGCCAUCCACAAAAAAAAAAUGCGCACCAUGAGAAGAUCAAAAGAGUAAGGAUUGUAUGCAUCUGAUCCUGCAGAACCCAGAGAUCAGAAGCUUGCCAGUUUCACAUUCUUCUUUGCCUUUUCAGAGUUGAGUAACUGGUCAUGGCUUCCAUUUUGCUCUGAGAACUACUGCCACUACUAGCCCUCGGAAUCGAUGGUUUAGCUUAACUCGACACUUUCACCACACUCGCAAAAGUUUUUUUUUUUUUUUUAAAUCUGAAUCUGGACUAUUUAUCCAUGAGAGGCAAAGAAAGAAUAUGAGAAAAAGACCAAAAUCUUUAAAAUUUUUUAAAAUUUGGAUUGAAGUCUGUUGCUUAGAAAUCUAGUUGCAGUCACAAAUCAUAGAAGUCUUUUUAAUGCUCACAAUUUCAAAAUAAAAAAUAAGUGUUUUUCCCUCUGUUUUUCUUUGUCAGUUUUUGAAGUUGGUUUUUUUCCUUAGAAGACAAGAUAUAGUAUUUCAAAAUUUUUUAGAACAAUUAAGAAAACGAAGAUAUUUAGUGAAAAAUAAUCCAUGUUCCCCUACCAAAAUGGAAAACAAAGGAUCCAAAAGGUCCUAAAAACUGAGAACCUUUUUUUUCUUUUCUUUUGCAACUGUUUACUGGCUAAGCUGUACGGAACUCUUAUAAAUUUCUCAGCUCCACCCUCUCCCACCACCUUUGGCUCCCCCGCCACCGCUUCUCCGGUCUCCCCUUGCCCUCUCGUUCAAUCCCAGAAGCCCAAAAAGCUAGGUCUCAAGUGCCUUUUUUUUUUUUUUAAACAACAGGUUGCAAAAGGAUGUCAAAUCAUCUCCCAGAGGAAGUGUGGGCUGGCAUCUUCACAAGACUCCCAGUCAAGACCCUCCUCCAAAUCAGGUCUGUUUGCAAACUUUUCAGUUCCAUUAUUUCCAACCCUACAUUCAUUUCAGCUCACAUCAAGAAAACCAUCAAUGAAUCCCACUCUCACACCCUUUUCCUGAGAUACUUGAUUGAGAAAGAAAGGCAGCAAGAACAUUACUUGCUAUUUACUGACAGUAGUGAUCAUAAAAAUUCUAUCUUUGAUGAGCACAAUUGCAGGAAAUUAGACUUCCCAUUUAAAACUCGAUCAAAAUGUCACUUUAGGAUUGUGGAUUCUUGCAAUGGUCUAAUAUGCUUGAAUGAUGACAAUGAUUUUGAUACUUCUGGGAUUAUUCUCUGGAACCCUUCAAUUAAAAGAUUCCUGAAUUUGCCGAACCCCCGGGUUACUAGUAGGAAUUAUGGUUCUUAUAUGUAUGUUCUUGGAUUUGGAUAUGAUGAAAAGAAUGAUGAUUAUAAGGUGGUUAGAGUGGCUUAUAAAAAGGGGCGAAGUGGGCGAGAUUUGAUACCUCCUGAGGUUGAGUUGUAUAGCUUGAAUUCACGGUCGUGGAGGAGUUUUAAUGCUGGUGCUCCUGCUUAUGGGAUAUUCGGGUAUACUUGGUCGCAGGCAUUUGUGAAUGGAGCUGUGCAUUGGGUUGGUUAUGAUCCGUGUGUUGUGAAAGGGAAUGAGAGUUGUGGGCUGAUUGUGGCGUUUGAUUUGAGUGAUGAGGUGUUUCGGGAGGUUAUGCUUCCUAGUUGUCUGGAGCAGCAUGCAUGGGAUGUGUAUAUUACGGUUUUUUGGGGUAAGCUUGCAGUGUUACAUUAUGACUAUGGUGCCCAUAAGAACUUUUGCUCUGUGUGGGUAAUGGAAGAGUAUGGAUUGGCUGAUUCUUGGAAAAAACUGUAUACUGUUGACCUAAGGGGAGGAUUGCGGAAUUUGAUUGGUUUUCUGAGAAAUGAUGAAGUCAUUGGAGUAACCAUUCGGGGUAAGCUGCUUUCAUAUGACCUCAUUACCUCAAGGAUUAAUAACCUUAGACUUCGCGGUGCAGUAGGUGGGUUUCAUGUGGGCAGUUAUAUGGAGAGUUUGGUUUUGAUUGAAGCUGAAAGUGCAGCUUUAGCACGAGAAUCAAUUACCUCUGGAAAUGAACAAGAAGAAGAACAGGCUACUGACUUGCAUGCAGUCAAGAACAGGCAAGAUUAUGCUUAUCGUUAAAAUAUUUGGGUUCUCAAACACAUUGGUGAUUGAAAUUUUGCUUUCUCACUUGCAUUGGUAGUUUCUGGACUACAUUGGUUUCUCACUUACAUUGGUAGUUUCUAUACUGCAUUACUCUCUGUGAGUGCAUUUUAGGGACUUGAGGAAUUUGAACUUCAUGUUGUAACUCUUUCAUGUUGAGGCUUACUGUCUGUUAUCUUUAAUUAAGUCAGGAUAGGGCAUUCCUUUUAUGCUUUUAUGUAAGGACCAUUAGAACAAUGUUAAUAUUUCAAUGGAAGCUAUGUAUCUUUUGUCUUAAGAAGGCCAUUGUUCUAUUUAUGUUAGAAAAAAGCCUAAUUAAUGGUGAUGGACCAUGGUCUGUAGUUCCUUCCAUAACUGAUUUUUCUUUACUUUCUUUAGUUCUUCAGAGCUACUAGUUUGGAAUGUGGCAUUCUAAUGUAAGUCCUUUCUUGAUACAGGAAUGAUGAGUUUGAUGAUCAGGAAAAACUUGAAAGUUUUCUUUCUCUUAGAAUAUCUGAACAGAAUUAUUCAGCAUAUUUAUGCGGUGGCUUUAGCGAGCAAGAAUUAUCUGCAAAGAAUUCUGAAGAAUGGGUGAAGGAAUUGGUUCCUGAGGCUAACUGUGAUGGAUGGGAGAAUGAUUGGUGAAGAAUGGUGGAACAAUGUUGGAAGUGCAAUAUUUUUAUUUUAUUUUAUUUUGGUAUCAAAGAGAGAGGGUUAUGAAUAACUGCUUCAAAAUGGGGCUCUGAAAAACAAAUCGAGAAACACUUCUAAAUGUUCUCACAGAAGAUCUCAUAAUUGGUUGUUGGGUUCAUGCUAAACCUAAGCAGUUUGCCUUUGAUUGCUGGUUGCCGAUUGCCUGUAAAUUUGGCGAUGGUAGCAGGUAAGUUUGUAUCUUUAACCUUCAGGUUUCUUAUAAACAUAAUCUGCUUUGUUUGAUCAGCCAAACGACUUCAUGGUUUUACUUUCUCAUGAUUUAAUUAUAACCAGUAUCUCUUUCCAUCAGACCCUGUACUUGCUUUUCACUUAUCUUGAUAUGAGACUCCAGACCUAUUAAAUUGAUUGUGAAAACAUUUAUCGACUCCAUUGAGCGGGUCCUAUCAUUGUCUCUUUUUACUUAUCUCUCCAUUUGGAGACAUCCUGUUGAACUUGUUUUGAUUCAGUUUUACUCUGCUUCUCUUCUCUUCAACCCUCAGAAAGCACUUAACAAGGGGGGAAACGUAAUGGUUUCUUUUCUUUUCUGUUCUUUAUUACCCACAUGUUUCCUACCAAACUAGCCCUUAAUGCAAAACAAACAAGAAGAGAUGACCAGAACAUGGACAUAGAUUAAUGUUGAACGUCACCUUAAGUAUGAAAACAUUACCAUAGAUGACACGAUAUUAUGCCAUAUAUGCUGUGCACAAAAAAAUGCUGCCAGACAACCUCCAAACUUGAAAAUGAGCAUUCCAAAUAGUAAACAAGGACAUGCAGAGAAUCCUGAAUAGCUUGGUAUACUGUAUUUAAUUGCUUUUGAAUUGAUACUUUCAGAGCUAGUUAAAUAUACUUUGUGAGAAAGCUGGAAGCUGAAUGUUGAUAAUCUGAAUUGUCACAGGUUAUCCAAAAAUGCAUGUGGUAAAAUUAUAAUAUCUGCUUAACCCCCUUUAGUUUUGCACAAAUAUCCACUUUACCUUCCUAUGGUUAUGUUUAUAUAGGAAGGUGUUGUACAUAUAUCCACAUAAUCCCACUAUAAUUUUAUACGAAGUAGUGAGACCUUUGUUCUAUUUAGUACUUGAGUAAGAGCAAUACUGGAAUCUCAACUACUGACGGAACAGAGGCUGCUUUUCAUCAAGUUUCCGAUUUACAUAAAAUUACAGUGAGGUUAAGUAGAAAUUUUAAAAUGUUAGGGGACAUAUGGUAAUGAGUGAAGCCAUAAGGGGUUAAUAGUAAUUUAUCCUUGAUUUAGAACAUAAUACUUAUUACGGUUCUGCGUAUAAACUGAUAUCUAAAGGGUUAAAAUUAGUAUAUGGAGCCUUUGGAAGUAGCAUUGUAGGCGUAGGCAUCAUUCUACCCAAUAAAAGGGAGAAACUUUGGGUAAUGAAGGCAAAAAUAGUCUUUUCAAAUGUGUUGAUAACAGACACAGUGGAACUAGCAACAGUUGGGGUAAGACUGAAUUGGCACAGAGCUUAGACUUUGACAUAUAUGGAAUUUGAAAGUACUGAGACAGUUGUACCAGUGCCAGGGAUCAUUAGCAAGAAGAAGGAUUUAUCAGCAUUGGUCCAUCUGGUGCAACACGUUAAACCUAUCAUGGUUGAUCACAGAGUUCGAGGAUUUGAGUAUCAGAAACAGAAAUCAGCCUCCAAACUUACCAACUAGAGCAGCUUUUAUAUCUCAAUAUUAACAAAUCUUUGGUGACUGAUAUUUUUCCUGCUGUAUCUCAUGACACAUUGGCACAAUUGGUCAACAAUAUACCUUCUUCAGUACAAGUUGCACGUGCUUUGUUUAAUGGAGAAUAGGGUUCAGCUUGUAAAAAUGUGAUGUAGGGACUAAAAACAACCUUCAACAUCAAGGAUAACCGUGAGUCAUGAGAAACGGACUUUUUCUUUUUUAAGAUCAGGAAAUAUUAGAUGGUUUGCUAUUUGGAAGCUAGUGGUCUUUCACAUACAAAAUAGUUCUUUUAAAAACUAAUACAGAAAAGUAUUCGCAUCGAUGAAGUUUACAUUGUCAUUUGUCAAUGACUCAAUAAUAGAUUCUGGAGAAUGGUGAUGCAGAAUUACCUAACCACAAGUAACAGGUAAAGGUAUCACUGUUCAGAGUACUCCCACAAUGUCUCACACAUGUACAGUUAUUGAAACACGGAUACACAGACAAAUAUAAAGAUCAAUGAAGGAUCACCACUGGAAUCAUAUUCUUGAUCCUUACAUCCACUGAAGAAGAAGAAAUGAUGGAUUACUUUUUGUUACAAUUGGCAUAAGGAUUGAUAAUGAAGUAUGGAUUGGGAAAAAAGGAUAGAGCAAUUGCAUAUCGUUACUCAUAAAAAUCAAUCAAGUGUGGGUUGACAAGUUCUUCAAGCUAUAAUUUGCGUAGAAUCAAGUGAGCACCAUGCUGAGGUUGAAUUGUAACUAUGGUGUAAGGAGCAUGAGUAUAAGAUGGAGAAAGUUCAAAGGAGAAGCGCUGGAGAAUCAUUGCCAUAGCCAAUUUUGCUUCAAUCAUAGCAAAGGUUUGUCCAAUGCAUAUUCGAGGUCCCCAACCAAAGGGGAAGAAUGAAGCUUGGCCUUUUGUCGCAUUUGAUACUCCUUCAUGAAAUCUGUCUGGAUUGAACUUUUCUGAAUCGUCACCCCAUAUUUCGACAUCAUAAUGCAGUAAGAGUACUGGCAACAUGAGCCGCACCCCAGAUGGGAAAGUAUAUUUUCCUACUUUAGUUUCCUCCUGAACUGUUCGAUCAAUUACAGGCAGUGGAGUGUAUAGUCUUAAAACUUCGUUCAAGAUCAUUGUCAACUGCAAUAAAGAUUAUAAGGGAAACCAUAUGUCAUCAUAAACUAUGCAGAAAGGAAGAUUACUGAAAUUUACUAUGUAGUGAUGGUCUAAAGCAUAAGAGAGCUGUGUUACUGUAAAAGACUGAAAAAUGUAUAUGGAACAGAAUAAGCUGAAUGUUAAUGUUCUUUUCCGCAAUCAAGAGUUUCAUUUGAAGACACGCACUCUUCUAAGUUCUAACAGGUAGGUAACUUCAAACAGAUCAUGCCAAUGGUAACAUAUGGAAGGAACUCACAAGUUUGAGGUGAUUAAGGCCAUUGAAAUUUGGCUCAUCUCUCCCGAAAACUUGCAAAACCUCUUCCCUAGCCCGGGAUUGCCACUCCUGAUGCCUGCUCAGUAAAACCAAUGUCCAUACAAGCAAUGAUGAGGUUGUCUCCUGCCCGGCAAAAUAGAAUAGUUUGCACUCUUCAAUGACAUCAUUGAUGCUCAAACCAAAACUUUUAUCCCCCUUUUGUUCAAUCUCUUUAAGAUUAGACUCCAAUAGUAUGCUCAGUAAGUCGUUAUCACUUGAUUCCCCUGCUUUCAUUGCUUCUAAUCUUUCAUCAAUAACUUCUCUUACUGCAGCUCCAACUUUUUUAUGAAGUUCCUUUAUCCUUCUGUUCCUCUUAGUUGGCAAAAACCUAUAGAUAAGAAGCGAAACUGACUGAAUCAACUUUGAAAUCAGGAAUGUCAAAAUAUUCAAUCUGGAAUGAUACUCAAACUCCCACAAGUGGUGUGCUUUUCAUGUCCAUACAACAUGAAGAUGCAUUGAGAAAUCUAGUUUUACCUUGAUCCUGGAAAAUAGAAUGAUUUUACAGCAGUCAUAACCUGCUCUGCCUGUUCUUUUUGAAGCUUAAAGAUCUUUCUUCCUUCCUCAUAAUUACCACCAAAUGCUGUACGAGAAAUUGCAUCGCUGGUUAAAGUCUGCAGGUGUGGCCAAACAUCCAAUUCACAGGUUCCUUCUGGUGAAACACUUUCCUCCCAUUUGCUCAACAUUUCGGUGGCACAUAAAUGAAAAGCUGGUAGCAUCAGCUAUUCAUAGGAAUGAAUGAUAAGCCUAGUUAGUGCUAGAUUUCGAAAGAAAUAAUUUCUCAGGUUAGUAGUUGUUGGUUUACGAUGUCAGCAUUGGAUAUCUACUUUACAGAUGAAAUUUGAUUUACAUUCUUCUUGCGGAUAAAAUUGCAUCAGGAAAUAAGAGAAGUAUAUUGUAAAUUGUAGGAGAUCAUUCAAUAUUUAAGCAUAAGAUCAGUUAUCGAAAAUAUAAGAUCAUCUCCAAUGAAUCAACACAGAUGACUUUGCAGUUGAUAGAGAAAUGUUAAGUAAAACCUUGAGCUUCUCUAGAUGGAAAGCAGGAUUGAUUAUCUUUCGAUGUUUUGCCCAUAUCUUGCCCUCAGAUGCUACUAGACCUUGUAUCAGAUAUUUGCCAAGCGGGUGAAAGUGAGGCUUCUGGAAGAGAUUAUACUUCACCAUGAUCUCCCUUAUAGAUUCAGAGUCUAGGAUGAUGACUGCAGGAUAUGGACCAAGCCAUAUGAAGGAAUUGCUACCUGCAAUCGACAUGCUAAGCAAAUUAAACCAACGAAGUCGACACAUAAAAUAUAUCCACCAGCAGAAUUUCUAAAAACAGGAAACCGACGAAAAAAAUGCAAGGCAUGGUGUCGCAAAAAAAAUGCAAUCAUUUCUGAUCUUACAUCACAAUAUCAUGAAGUCUCUGCAAUAAGAAUUCAGCAGAUUAUACCAUAUUUCUUGAUGGUUGUGGUGACCAUCGGUAUAACUCGGGGUACAAGAUCAUCAGAAAGAUUGAUUGGCUUGGAAUAAGCUUCUUCAAUCAUCGAAACCAUUUCUUUAAAAUCUCCAUAGACUGGUGUGUAUGAAUUCCCGGAAAGACCCUGUGCUCUAAGGCACUUCUCUAGCUUCUUCGGCCUCAACCAUAAAGAGUUCAGGGCUCUCCAUGCACAAACCAACAGGGCAAUUAAACAUGGUGAAAUUGCUAGCAUAAAAUUCUCCAUAAUUUUACAGUUGUUUCAUGGCUGGUUAGAGUCUGAGAGAUAGCCCUUUGAAUUGUACUACUAUUCAAGGUUGUCAUGUGAAGAGGGGAUUAAUCUAGCUUUUCAGCAUUUGAGCGUGCACGGUUUCUAGAAAUGACCCGGAUAUCGACAUUAUCAUUGUGAAAAUUCAAUCUUGCCGCUAUCAUCUUUGGAGUUACUAUUGAUUUAGAAUUCAACAGUCUGAUUGAGAUUAUGUUGACAAAGGAAUGUGUUGGGUACCCAAUAGACUGGAUCCAAUGUCCCAUCAAUCAAGAAUCUGGUCAAUUUUGCAAUCUUUAUAUUUCGUCAUCUAGGCUAAUGAAUACUAGGUCUUCCAUCAAUUCCGAUUCUUGAUAUAAUUGUCAGUUUAAUGCAUACUAAAGUAUCCGGGCGAAACACACAAUGACACUCUGCAUAAUCAUUCUCUAAUUUAAAAAAUAAUACAUAACCUCCUCAUAUUUUAGACCAAAAUGUCAAAGUGAUAAAAUUUGCAUUCCAUAAUUGCGCCAACUAAAAUGUCAAAUGUAUUCCUAUGUAAAGUUAGAAAUUAUUUAUUAAUUAUAGCAUAUUCUGUUUGUAUUUGAAAAACCAUAAGGGGUUCUGUGGUGAAGUCCUAAAUCACAAGGGAAUUAUAUGGUAAAAUACAAAAUCAUAAGCAGUUAAUGUAGUAUGCAUACUAUGUUUAAAUAUUUCGGUUACUUUAGACAUUUUAAUUUUGAAACAAUGAUAAUCUCGAUAUUUUUGUAGGUUCCGUAAUAGAGGAUCAUUUUCGUCACUUGACACUUUAAUUCAAAUAAAUUAUGUGAAAAAUCGCUAAAUCAUAAGAGUGUAAAGUGUAUUUUACCCUAAAGGAUUUCAAUAUUCUUAUCAUUAUUUUUUAAAUACGUAGAAUAAAGCUGUACGAAAUGUCCUACAUCGAAAUAUAAAUAUAAACUCUGGCCCAUUGGAUUACUAAUAACUUUACAUUAAUCAUUUUGCGCCCAUGAUUUUGCUCAAAAAGUUAUUGAGCCAAAAAAAAAAAAAAACAUAUAUAUAAGAUAGACGCAAAAUUUUCUUUUUUUUUUUUUUCCUUUUUCUCUUCCAAACUAAAUAUUACGUAUAACUUCAGCAUCAAUUUACAAUGUAUUGCAACUGCAAAAGUAUCACUUUGUGCCUUCUUGCACACAUAAAACAGAAAUCUUUUUUUUUUUCUCUCCAAACCAAAGUAGGCAUAAGGUUGGACAGCCUAGCAGCAAGGAAUGGAUAACAAAAUCACAUUUCUCACUCAAAAAAAGAGCAAAACAGAACCAAGGAAAAGCAAAUGGAAACUACUUCAGCUGACUAUAAUUUGUGCAAUUCCAAAAGAGCACCAUGCUGAGGUUGAAGUGUAAAUACUGUGUAAGGAGCAUGAACAUAGGAUGGUGAAAGUUGAAAGGAGAAGUGUUGUAGAAUCAUUGACAGCGCCAAUUUUGCUUCUAACAUAGCAAAAUUUUGUCCGAGACAUAUUCUAGGCCCCCAGCCAAAAGGGAAAAAUGGAGCUUGGCUUUGGCCAUUUGCUGCCUUUGACACUCCUUCACUAAAUCUUUCUGGCUUGAAUUCCUUUACAUCAUCCCCCCAUAUUUCGCGGUCAUGAUGCAGCAAGAUCACUGGUAACCACAGCAUCACCCCGGCUGGCAAAGACAAUUUUCCCACUUUAGUUUCUUGGUGGACUCUUCUAUUCAGUGCAACUGCUGGAGGAUAUAGCCUUAGAACUUCAUUCAAGAUCAUAGUCACCUGCAAGAAUCUCGUGUGAGCUGUAUGCAGUUGGAUUAUAGGUAAUUGCAACAGAACAAAUUACAUUUUUUAAUACCUUUUCAGGUGUUCAAUUUCUGUCGGAGCUAAUAUGAGGAAGACACUUACUAUUUUCAGGUGAUUAAGCCCUUCAAAGUGUGGUUUGUUUCUCCCAAAGACUUGCGAAACCUCGUAUCUAGCUUUCGACUGCCAUUCUCGGUGUCUACCUAGCAACACCAAUGUCCAUACAAGCAAAGUAGAAGAGCUCUCUUGUCCAGCAAAAUAGAAGAGUUUGCACUCAUCAAUCACAUCUUGCAUGGUCAUACCAAAGCUCUUGUCUCCAUGUAGAUCAAUUUCUUUAAAAUUGGAUUCUAGCAUAAUGCCUAACAAGUCAUCGUUACUGGUUUCCCCUGCUUUUAAUGCCUUUACCCUUUUGUUAAUGAUAUCUCUGAUUUUAGCUUGAAUUUCUUUUUCAAUAUCCUUCAUUCUUUUGUUCCUUCUAGUUGGCAAAAACCUGAAGACAACAAUGAGAAAUCAAGAAACUGAGUUACUCAGACAUAGGAAAUCAAAUAUGUGAGUUAAAAACUUAUCCAUUGUGUAGCUUUAUCUUAUCAAGCUUUUCUUAGUCAUGAAAAUGAAAGUGUAUCCUAGAAUACUAUGCGUGCUGAGUUUAUACUUUCCUAGAAACUUGGCAGAAAAAGAUUAACUUUAACUUUACCUCAAUCCUGGGAAAUAUACUGAUCGCGUGGCCCUGACAGCAUACUGUGCCUGUUCCAUUUGGAGUUCAAAUAUCCUUCUCCCUUCUUCGUAAUUGCUACCAAAUGCUGUACGAGAAAUCGAAUCAGCACCUAAAGUUUGAAGGUAAGGCCAAACAUCCAAUUCGCAUGAUCCUUCUGGUGAAACUCUUUCCUCCCAUUUACUCAACAUCUCGCUGGCACUUGAGUAAAAUGGUGGCAGCAUAUGCUAUUCAUAGCCAUGGUGAAAACAAAAUUUAUUAGCACUUCUAAUAGACCUUAAGAAUGAUUCAGAUUGUAGCUUAAUUAUUUGCCAUCACUAGAUUGAAAAAUUUCAAACUGAAGUUCUUUAAGGUAGAGAAAAUAGAAUUCAAAUUUGUAAACGAUACCUUCAGCUUCUGUAAAUGGAAAGCAGAACUUAUGAUUUUUCGGUCUUUGGCCCAUUUAUCACCCUCCGAGAAAAUGACACCUUGUGCCAACAAUUUGACAAUUGGAUGAGGACGAGGCUUCUUAAAGAUAUAGUUCUUCAGCAAGAUUUCCCUCAUAAGUACAGGGUCUAGGAUGACCACUGAGGGAUUCUGCCCCAACCAUACAAAGGAAUUCCUACCUGCAUUUGGAUUCUAAACUGAUAAGUUCACUUUUAAACAGAAAUACUUGUGUAUACGGAAAGGAGAAUGUUUAGACAGUUUCAAUCUUCAUAUGCGUACAGUAGUAUGUGGUAAAAGGAAAAUCAGCUAUCAAUAUAUAUAUGGCUAUCAUUGCAGAGACAGUACAGUUUAGACGUGAACUUUGCUAAUCAGUUGCUUAGGAAAACUAAUAUGAUGAAAUGAGUGACCAGGGAUCAACACCAUACCGUAUUUCUUGAUGAUUUCAAUGAAGAAAGGUAUGACUCGUGGCACGAUGUCAUCAGAAAGGUUGAUAGGCUUGGAGUUAGCUUCUUUCAGCAUCACUGCAAUGUCUUUGAAGUCUCCACACACUAGUCUAUAAGAAUUUCCAUUAAGGCCUAGGUUUCUUAGGCGCUUCUCUAGCUUUUUGGGCCUCAGCCACAUGCAGUUCAGCACUCUCCAUGCAAAAACUGCAAGUGCAACAGCGCAGGAAACUCCUAUGGAAUAAUACAUACGUUCAUAUGAUUUCAUCGCCAUUUCCUAAUGAUCUCUCAACCUUUAUAGCUCCAUAUACGAACAUAUUGAAAUGAGGGAUCCAUUAUUAUAAUCAUUAAAAAAAUCCUUUUAGGCAGGAUGAUGGAGCAGAAGUGACCUUUUAUUGUUAAUUUAUCUCUUGAUGUUGGCCUCAUGGUGUGCAGUGAAGAUUUUGUUGAUGAUUAGACAAUAAUUGACGGCCAACUAGCCAGCAGCUUCAUGCGUAACAACGACAGGAGAAGCCCGUGCUUCCACUCCCUCGUUUUUUCAUAUUUUGAUGUAGAUAUUGCAAUCUCAUGCCUUACUUUAUUUGCAUGCCUUGAUAUUAGAGAAGCAAUGAGGUAUAAGCAGUUUGAUGAGGACAAAGACAUCCUCAAUGAUUUCUGCCAAUACCAAAUCAGUGGAUUGAUCUGGAAUCCAUUGAUGAUGAUAGCACCUUUUGUUUUUAGGAUGAUGUGGAUAAGUAUAAUGUCAUAGUAGAAUUUUUCAUAACCACCGUCAAGCAGCCAUCAUGUAACUAGCAUCUUUAACGUAUGAAAAAGUUAGAAUUUUUUUCUACUAACUUUUUUCAGUUUUUUUUGCUAUUUAAAACAGGAUAAAUUACCUUUUACUUUUUUGUGAUUUGAUACUUUACCACAUAACCCUCUAUAAUUUAAAACCUAUACAUAACCCCUUCCCUAAUUUGGGUUAAAGUAUCAUUAUUAACUUAAAAGUAACGGUCAAUAUUAUAAGGUCAAAGUCAAACUAAUAAAUAGACAAAUACACGCUUUUACUAUAUAUAUUGUUCUUUUUUCCUCUUCUUUCUUUUUUUCUUUUUUCUUUGAGAAGAGAAGAGAUGAUUUUAAAAAACUAUACUUUGGCUUACUAAAUCUUAAUAAAUCUAAAAUUUCCUCAAAUACAAAAAAGAAGAAAGGGAAAUAAAAAUAGAUAAACAAGAAAUAAAUAAUACUGUUAAAGAUUUGCAAUCACUAAAGAUUUGGUUUAAAAACUUACAUUGAUAUUUACAAUCAUUAAAGAUUUGAUAUUUUGUAAUUCUUAUUAUGUAUUUUUAUUUUCCUUUCUUCUUUUUUUUUUGGUAUUUGAAAAAAAAAAGAGGUAAUCAAAGGGUGAAUUUGUUAAUUUAUUAGUUUGAUUUUGAAUUUUUUAAUGUUGACCAUUAGUUUUAAAGGGAAAAUUAGCCUUGACACUUUAAUUCAAACUAUAAGGGAUUUAUGUACAAGUUUUUAACCCUUGAGGAGUUAUGUGACAAAUCACUAAACCAUAAGAAGGUAAAAGGUAAUCUAACCUUAAAAUAUUAAGAAAACAGCACAACCGGUAAUAAAAAAAUGCUUUCCAAAUAUAAAUGAUCAUUUAUUCACCAAAUAAACAAGCAGAAAGACAACAAAUAUAGUAAAUUUUAAUUCUGCCCGCCACUGCUAAAAAAGCAUCAGCAUUUCAAGCAAAUGACAAGAUUCAGAAGCUGAAGAUCCAAAUUUUCUUAUGGUACAUGAACUUAAGUUCUAUUGAUAUAUCUUCUGCAACAAGAACCUUCAUGUUCACCAUCCUACAAUUUGUGUAUGACUAAAUGAGCACCAUGCUGAGGUUGGAGUGUGGCUAUCGCGUGAGGAGCAUGAAUAUAAGAUGGGGAAAGUUCAAAGGAGAAGUUUCGAAGAAUCAUUGCCAUCACCAAUUUUGCUUCUACCAUGGCAAAGUUUUGUCCAAUACAUAUUCGAGGUCCCCAACCGAAUGGGAAAAAUGAAACCUGGCCCUUUGUUGCAUUUGACACUCCUUCACUAAAUCUCUCUGGUUUGAACUCUUUUGCAUCAUUACCCCAUAUUUCACAGUCAUGAUUCAACAGCAUUAAUUGCAGAUUGAGUAGCACCCCAGCAGGCAAGGAAAAUUUUCCUACUUUAGUUUCUUCAUGAAGCCUUCUAGCAAGCACAACCACUGGUGGAUACAAUCUUAGAACCUCAUUCAAGAUCAUUGUCACCUGUGGUGUUGUACAAGGAAUAGAUGAAGAAUAGUACAGCUCAAGAUAUCUUAAAGCAAGCAAAAUGAAACAAGGUGGUUACAUUGCAACAGUCCAAAAGGAGAGAAAAUUGAGACGCAAAGUACUGUUAGUGUUGAAUGAAGUUUACAGGAGUAACCUAAUGAUGUAAUGCUACUCAGAAUUUGUAAAAUGGUGUGUUCAGUGAAGAGCCUAAUGGUGCAAUUUAUGUGACAGGGCGUUCUUGACCAUGUACCUUUUUUCAGCUCACUUUUCUAACACCAUGAAAAAAAAAAAACCAAUGUUAAGGGAUCUGCAACUCUCCAGAACAUUAGUUUGGAUAGAAAGUCACCAUUGAUUGAGAAUCUAUUGGCAUGAUUUUACCUGUCUUGAAUUGUAACCAGACCAGAAUAUAUUGUGCCACAUUUAUAUAUGAGAAAAGGGAUAUCUUAAAUAUAGACAAUGCAAGCACAGGAGGAUCAGUAACCUAUGUUGCAAAUCAAAACUGAAAAAACAGACAUUUAUUUCCCCCUAAAUUUCCAACUUUGAACUUGAUUCUGAAUGCCUUACAUUUUGUGUUUAAUGAAGUACGCUAUGGACUGGUUCUAAAUUUAUCAUUACUCAUCUGUAAAGCUAUUCACACUUGAACCAAGUGUUCCAGUGGCAGGACAGAUACUUGACAAGAUCUAAUGAACAAUACAAAGUUCACAAACUUUAGGAACUUGCACUUUAUUAAAACAAUGUACAGAAUACACUUACAGUUUUGAGGCGACUGAGGCGAUCAAAAUCUAUCUCCUCUCUUCCAAACGCUUGCAAAACCUCUUCCCUAGCAAGUGACUGCCAGUCUUGAUGCUUACUCAGUAAAAUUAAGGCCCAUACCAGCAAGGUUGAAGUGGUGUCUUGCCCACCAAAAUAGAAUAGUUUGCACUCUUCAAUUAUAUCUUUGAUGCUCAUACCAAAAUCUUUGCUGCCAUACUGAUCAAUCUCCUUAAAGUUAGAUUCCAACAGUAUGCCCAAUAAGUCGUCCCUUCUUCCUUCCCCUGCUUUCAUUGCUUUCACUUUCCUAUCAAUUAUGUCCCUUAUUGUUGCUUGAACUACUUUUUCAAUCUCCUUCAUUCUUCUGUUUCUCUUCGUUGGCAAAAACCUAUAGAUGAAGAGAUUACCGAGCAAGAAACUCAGGAUGUAAGAUAUCAAAGCUAAGAUGGUUCUUUAAGUUCAGCAGUAGCAAGCACUCCAUGUCCAUGCAGAACGAGGGAAUAUGUUUUUUAAACACUGGGGGAAAAGAUUGAAACCAGGAGCAUACCUCAUUCCAGGGAUAUAUAAUGACCUUUCAGCUGUCACAACAUGGUCUACCUGUUCUUGUUGAAGUUCUAAAAUUUUCCUUCCUUCUUCAUAAUUACUACCAAAUGCUGUGCGAGAAAUCACAUCACCAGUUAAGGUUUGAAGAUAAGGCCAAACAUCCAGCUCACAAGAUCCUUCUGGCGAAAGUUUUUCCUCCCAAUUCCUCAACAUCUCACUGGCACUCGAAUGAAAAGCCGGCAGCAUAAGCUACUCAUGGCAACAAUAAAAGCAAGCCAAUUAGUAAAAGGUGUACAAGCAAAAGUAACUUGGCUCCUUGUUAAUCAUUACAUUCACAGGAUUGAAACUCAAAAUAAAAAAAUUUAAAAAAAAAAAACUCAAGAAACGCUUUGCCAGUACAAAGUUCUUUCAAGCGUAAAAAUCGAGAACUAACUUUCCUUCAAGGCAAAUAAAACAGAAUCAAAUAAAACCUUGAUUUUCUCUAAAUUGAAAGCAGGAUUAAUUAUUUUCCGAUCUUUAGCCCAUUUAUCUCCCUCAGAGUCUAGUAGCCCUUUCGCCAGCAAUUUUCCAAGUGGAUUGGAAUGUUGCUUUGGGAAGAGAUUAUGCUUAAGGAAGAUCUCCCUGAGAAGUUCAGGGUCCCGGAUGAUAACUGAAGGUUUAGGCCCAAGCCACAGAAAAGAAUUGCUACCUGCAAAUUCAAUACAGAUGAAAUCUUCUUAAAAACAAGAAUCAGAAUUUUCAAGAAGAGGAUUUAAAUCCCACGUACCAUCUACAAACCGAUGGCAUGCAAGGUCUUUGCUAAUUGAAGGCCACAACAACAAAUAGGAAAUUGCGAAGGGCAUUAAUGUAGGACAUGUGCAACAGGAAACUCAGCUCUGAUCACAUGACUAGAAGCCUAUAACUGAGUUCUGAUCCUUUUUAAUAAACCGACUUUUUAUUCGACAACACUUUGAUUAUGAUACGAGUAAGAAGACUUGUGUAGAGCGUACCAUAUUUGUCGAUGGUUUUGACGUGGAAAGGUAUGACUCUGGGCACGAUAUCAUCAGAGAGACUGAUUGGCUUGGAUUUGGCUUCCCCAAGCAUCAUUGCCAACUCUUUCAAGUCCCCAAAGAUUGGUCUGUAGGAAUUUCCAUUAAGACCUUGUGCUUUGAGGCAUUUUUCCAGCCUUCUUGGCUUCAACCACAUCGAAUUCAAGACUCCCCAUGCACAGACUAGCAAAGCUACAACACAAGAAACUGAAAUAAAGCUCAACAUAUUCUCUAGUAGUUUCUCCCAAUCUCAAGUGACCACUCACUCCACGCUACUAGAACUUAUCUUCCUGUGUGAAGGAGGAAAUGAAUGUGCAUUUUAUUGUGGCAGGUACAGGAUUUUGGGGAGAGCGGGCAUCUGAAUAGUGUAACAUUUUUUGAACGUUUUGUUACAUUAUAUAAAUUUUUUAUAUAUUUUUAUAAUGGAAGCGUGACAUUUUGUUACUAUUUAUGUGAAUCUCAUGAAUAAUAAUCAUGUCUCUAUUGUUAAAUUUUACAAGUAAUUUACGUAAAAUUAUACACUUUAUUUAAAAAAUAUUAUAUCAUUUAGAAUAAUUGUUUCGCCAGUGCCUUGGUCCGACAGAUUGCUACUGUGUAGACAUUGUAUGAUUCAGCAUGGAGCGAGCGCAGAUUCCAUGACCAAUUCCGGGUCCAAUAGAACCAGGCCCUACCGCCAAUCCAGGAGCAAUAAGGGGAGCGGCAGAAAUCAGUGGAUUCAUGAUAAAGUUCCUCGUACCAAAAAAUGAUACAACCAACAAAUAAAUUAUGAUUUAAUCAUUCCGUUACUAGGAUUCAAAGCUGCUAGUUUGUGAUUCCACUUUUAGGAUUAAGAUAAUUCCAUUUAGCCCCUCAAAAUCAUGGUUCUUCGUCCAAUUGAGCCCUUGAAAGAUCACUUGAUGUUCAAACUGGCAAUUCAGUACUUAGUAGCUUUUAAUCUUGUGAGCUUUUCCCUAACCAGCCCCACAAAUUUUGCUAUACAAGUAAAACUUACAUUCAAGUUCCAUUUCAAAACAACAUUAAUGGACCCCUCAAAUACUUUAAUACCACUCGUUUCUUACGCAUAGAAGUGACAUUUUGCAAGAUCUUCUGAGACAUUAGGAUUUGUUCUGCAAGAGUUGCUUCAACCAAUGAUAAAAGUCUCAAUUGUCGGCAAAGUCUACAUUCAAAUCAACAGCGCCAGAUGGGCUGUUGGGCACUCUAUUUUCCUUUAACGUGUGACAUCAAUGAUGUAAAUUGGUUUUUGCUCUUAAUUUUGCUGAAUUCUGUAUUUAUAUUUUGUGGGUUAAAUCAAUGCUCCUUUCAUAAAAUUCUAUUUCUUUUCCUCAUUUUUAACGAGCAUGAUUUGACCCACGAUGUCAUUUUUCCAUCCCAGCAAUCGUCAUCAAUGGCGAUAGAAAACGAGAAAUGAAUAUCAGAAACCUCUCUUAAUAGCAAUUAACACCCCUAAGAUUUUGAAAAAAAUCACUUACCUCCCUUUAAUGACUAUAUUAACCCUCACUUUAGACAUAACACACAUAUCACAUAUAUGAAGUUCAAAUAAUUAAAGCAAAAGAAAUGAAAGUCACGUUCUUUUCUUCCUCCUUUCUCCAACAUUUUAUGUUGUCCAUUUUUUGGAUGAUUAUGCAAUUUUUUUUUUUUUUUUUGUAAAUUGUCGUAAACUGAAUUUUGUUUAUCCUUUUUUUUUAGUGAUCGUGCUAGACUACGAUAUAAUUUCUUUAGUUAUUUUGAUUUGGUUUUUAUAGCGAUUUUGUACAAUUUAAAUGCUUGGGGUCAUGGAUUGAGAAAAUGUUCGAAAAAAAUAGAAUUCAUAAAAGAUUGUCUUUGAUCAUAUAAAAUUGAAUCAGUGCUAAUGUUUUUCUUUAUAAGUAUCUUUUUUUUUUUUUCAAAUUUAUAUUUUUAAGGGCUAUGGCAUUCUGAUAUGGUGAUUGUACUUAAAAUUGUUUUUCAGGUGUUGAUUUUUAAUGGAGUAAACAAAGCGGUUUAAGAGUAUCUACAUUUACUAAGAGGCGCAAAAAGGUCGUUUAUAAUUUUUAAAAAUUUUAUGAUAUAAGAAGCAAAAGUAAGAAAGAUAGGUGAUUAUUUUUAAAAUUCUAAAGAUACUAAGAUUGCGUUAGAUAAAACUAAAAUCUAAAAACUAAAAUCUGAAUUCAUUAAGUUUUUGAAUUGUUAAAUAUUAAAUUUGAUACAUUUGAGUGUAUAUCACAUUAAGUGAUAAGUAAAUAGUUUAUCACUUAUUUUUAGAAACACAUUUAACUAGAAAAUUCAGUGCCACUCUAUAAUUCAGAUGUUGAAUUUUUUGUUAUCAAACGCAUGUGAAACAUGUUAAGAUUUAAAUUCAUUAAGUUUAAGUGCUAAAUUAGGUUAUCAAAUAAUGCCUAAGUCAUAUUGAGAAAAACCUCAGGGGAGAGGUUUCCGAUAUUAUCCCUAACUUCAUCGAUAAUUUGAACUCUAGAUAUUCUUGUCUUGUGAUUUGAAUCUCUUAAAAUUAAGUAUUGAGUUGAAUUAUUAAACAUAACCUAACUCAUAUUAAGAAGAACCUCAAGAGAGGUUAUUGGUAUUAUCCCUAGCUUCAUAAGUCUGAACUCUGGAUAUUCUUGUCCCGUGAUUUCUCAAGAGUACAUAAGGCUCAAAGAUGAUAACGUGUCUCCAAAGACCAAUAUCAAGACACAACAUUAUAUGCACAUGCACCUCAGAAUUGAGCAACUUCUUCCAAUCAGCUUAGACGUACAUGGCUAAAGUCAAAAAAUAUUUUUUCCAAAGACUUUUUGUCACACCUCAGACAACGAUUCUCGCGUCUCCCGUUCUACGUCAAAAAAGGUAAAGAUGACUAAAAUGAUGGAUAAACCUGCUCCAUGAGGAUCCCACCUCGGAAAAGUGUAAGGCAAAGACUUGACUUGCCUAGUCUACUAAAUCUAGUGAUUCAAAAUUUUUAUUUUUAUUUUUAUUAUGUAUUUAAUACUUGAAUUGAAUUGAUGAGAUUGUGUAGCAAAUUUUAAAUCGCUUAAACAUCAAAUUUACCCAAGUUUUUGCCAAGGUACAGAAGUCUCAAAAAAUGAAUGCCUUGAACAAUGAAAUGCUAACAACUUGACUAUUGAAUCUUUGCCACCAUCUAUUGAUCAAUGAGAUUGUGUCAUUGAUCUAUUGAAGCUUUUCUUUGUUUUCAGCGAAUUUUAGAGCAGUCAGCUGACUGAAGGCUGAUCACCACCGAAAUAGUGUGGUGAUUACAAAUAAAAGUAAUACAUCUUCACAGCAAACUAACCGCUAAAAAGCACUUAAAUUUGAAAUUCUUGAAAAACUCAUGAUGGUUUCUUUCAAGAAUUUGUGGUAUAAUUUGAGAAGUUGUCUAACAUUUGUCUGGUAAACCAACUGGAAACUUCUCUUUUUUCCUUUGUGAGUUUGACAGUGAUCAGCUGAUUGAAGGUUUGAUCACCACUGAACUGCAAUGGUGAAUUGGUGAUUUCUAUAAAUGAGUUCUGUAUUUGUAUUUGUAGCUAAGUGCUCAAAGAUUUUAGAUUAAAAUUGUUUCUUGAGUAGGUGAUGAUGGUAAAAUGCAUUUUCCAGAUUCUUUUCUCCCCUUUUUUGAAGUUUGAUAUCUAAAUAUAGAACUAAGUUCUGCUGUACCAUGUCUGCUCACCCAAAAAAAUGAGUAUAUAACUGCAAUACUCUUGUAUCAUACAUGUUAUAUUUGUGCACUCCAGAAAUAAUAAUGUGCAUCAAAUGAAAAACAAGAAAUUGAAAUCUUAACGUCUGAACUAUUCCCCACAACCUAACGACACAAGUUACUACAAUUUGUGCAAAAUCAAGUGAGCACCAUGUUGCGGUUGGAGUGUUAUAAUUGCACGGGGAGCAUGAGAAUAAGAUGGGGAAAGUUCAAAGGAGAAGCUUCGCAGAAUCAUGACUAGCACCAGUUUGGCUUCCAACAUGGCAAAAUGUUGCCCAAUGCAUACACGAGGUCCCCAACCAAAAGGGAAGAAUGCAACUUGCCCCUUAGUCGCAUGAGGCACUCCCUCAGCAAACCUCUCUGGCUUGAACUCCUUCGCAUCAUCACCCCAUAUUUCGGUGUCGUGAUGCAAUACCAUUACUGGUAAAGACAGCAGCACAUCAGCCGGGAGACGCAUGCUUCCUAAUUUAGUUUCUUCAGCAACUCUACGACUAAGAGCAGGAACUGGAGCGUAUAGCCUUAGAACCUCGUGUAGUAUCAUGGUGACCUGUCAUGGAAGGAGAAACUUGUUAGAAUGCUAGCACAGGAAAACCCCUCCUUACGCUUUAUAUUAUGACAGACAGACCAGAUUGUAAAGUUCAUAUUUAGUUGCAGUUAUAUACAUACUGUAAUUUUUCAACCUGCAAAUUUUCUAUCCAAUGAAGACAUUCAUCUUUCUUAGAUGGCAGUUUGUUAUAAUCUCCUUUCUACUUGAAAUAUUUUUGCAGAAAGCUUCAAUCUUUGCCUUAAAGAUAAAAUUUCAGAUGCAUGGAGUAGAAAAAGAAGAAAUUUCGAGAAGUUAGUCCAAAAUUAAAGAUUAUAAAAGCUGUUAUUGUCAAAGGAUUUUCAAUGAAAGCAUGGACAUCAGAACACUAGAUGAAUUUCCAUCGAUAAAAGACUUUCUGCUGCAAGCCUCGACGGCAUAGCAAGCAUUGAUUCCGUCUACACAGUAUUGUGUGACUAAUAUGUGUCAACUAAGCAGCUUCUAACAAAGCAUAAAACUAUUAUUUCAAAACAGUUUUUGGAUAACUCGGAAGAGCAGCUUAAUGCCAAUGUAUGCUUCCCGUCAUCAAGCACUCAACAAGGCUUUAACUUCUCAUUUAAUGCAAGUGCUAGUGACAUUAAUGCAUUAUUUUACAAUAAUUGAUCAAAAAAUAUUAUUGUUUUUGUUGGAAUGUGUCAACUAAGAAGCUUUUCAUACCAGUUUCUUUAGUAUCUUGACCAUGUAUAGAGUUGUAUUCAGAAUUAAUUUUUGCUCUCUCAGAGAGUGCUCAAUCUCCAAUUUGGCCACAUGAGUACUGGACACUCACAAGGGUAGAAGCUUCUACUUCUGCGUCAAAAUAUCUCAAAUGAAAUUGAAAAUGCUCUCCCCAGGAAUUAGACCACCUGGUUCAAAUCCCCUUCCCCCUCCCUGCUUCUUAAAUCUCACCCCUCCCCAGCUACUAAAAACAAAUAAUAAUAAAAAAAUAAAAAAGAAAUUGAAAAUGUACUCACAAGGUUUAGGCGAUUUAGUCCAUCAAAAUCUGGUUUUCUAGUGCCAAAGAGUUGCAAAACCUCUUCUCUAGCUCGUGCUUGCCAAUCAGGAUACCUACUCAAUAAAAUCAUUGUCCAUACGAGCAAUACUGAUGUAGUCUCCUGCCCUGCAAAAUAGAACAGCUUGCAUUCUUCGAUGACCUCUCUGAUAGUCAUGCCAGCGCCAUCUUGUCCAUGGUUAUUGAUUUCUUUGAAGUUGGAUUCCAAUAGUAUACCCAACAAGUCAUCACCAUAGGCUUUACCUUCUCUCACUGCCUUUAUUCUUGAGUUGAUAAUUUCCAAAAUUGUAUCUUGAACUGCUUUUGCAAUUUGUUUCAUUCUUCGGUUCCUCUUAGUUGGCACGAACCUAUAAUGAGAUAAUUCAGAAAAUAAGCAACACAUUGUGUGCUUAUAAUACUCAAUUGAAUCCAAAUCAACUAUCAAGUUCGAAGCGAAAAGAAUUUAACUGAUAGUUUACAAAAAACCAACUUUCUGGAGGACUUAGAGAUCAGCAAAUACAUUUACCUCCAUCCUGGGAUGUCCACUGACUGUACAACCUUAAGCCAAUAUUCACUCUGUUCUCUUUGAAGUUCAAAUAUCCUUCUUCCUUCUUCAUAGUUACUGCCAAAUGCCGUCCGUGAAAUUGCAUCAGAAGUCAAAGUUUCAAGGUCUGGCCAUACAUCCAACUCACUUGAACCAUUCGGGGCAACAACCUCCUUCCAUUUGUUUAAUAUGUCACUAGCACUUGUAUAAAAUGAUGGAAGCAUAUGCUGCAAUCAAGACAACGAACCAAAUGAAAAAAAAAAUGCACCCCUUCAGCACCGGUACAAUACCAGUAAAGCUUCUUCAGGUCAUUCUACUUAAGUAGGAUUUCUGAGUCAUGUUUCUACCUAUUUGUCAAAGUGAACUGAUUCAUUUGAAGGGUCACUUCGUUUCAAAGGUGCCUUUUAAGACCACCUAAAACUAGAGCUGCUGACAAAUUCAGUACUCAGUGGUUUAUAAAACAAAUGAAAGUUACAAAACCUUUAACUUCUCCACAUGGAAAGCUGGGUUUAUAAGCUUUCUCUGUUUGGCCCAUUUAUCUCCGUCAUAAUUCACCAGUCCUUCGAUCAGCAACAAGCUAAGAGGAUUAAGACGAGGCUUUUGAAAGAGGUAGAUCUUUUGCAUAACCUCCCUAAUGAGUUCAGGCUCCAGGAUGUACACCAUUGGUGUUGGUCCAAGCCACACAUAUGUGCUCUUACCUGAAACUCAAAUUGCCAUGUCUCAGCCAAGUUUAUUUUCACCUUAUUUACAUCAUAAAUCAAUGGUAUUUAAAGCUGUAUCAUUUGGUGUGUGUGUUUUCUGAAGGAAAUGCGAAAAACAUGACACCAAGAAUUAAUAGGAGGGGAUCAACCUUAAACGUUUUUGGGGAGCGUCAAUUUUCAUCUACAGAACAGAUGUCAUGUACAUCACAACCACAUUUCUAAAUAACAGCAUUUACACAUUUGACAAUCCAAAUCCACUGUCUCAGAAUCUUCUGCUUGGCCAUUCAUCAAUGCGAUGUCCAAUUUUCAUUAUAUCAAAAUUUCAACCAAGUUUUUGGUUUCCAUAAAUGCUGCCAUCUAUAUUCUUAAUGUUGACAACACUUAUCAGCUUAACCCUAACAUGAUAAAGUUUUUAAUCCAGUUUAUUGGUAAUCUUUUUUCCAUGGCUAUUCCAACAUCUUAAACCCCAAAUUACACGAAAAGAAGAACAGAAAACCAAAACCAAUCAUAACAAAGCUGCCUUAUUUACCAAAAAGGGAUGGACAUAAUGGGUAAUUCAAAUAAGAAAAUCACAAGGUAGGAUAUGGAAUGCUUAGUGAACAAACAUCAUGUGAUGUCAAGCAUGUAAACUUUAACUGUCGCCCAACCAAGAACUUCUAAAAUCACUUCAUAAUUCUGCUUUUCUAGCUGAACCAUUCAGUGAAUAGACCUCACAAGGAAAGAAGUAAAACAUGAAAUAGCAGCAGUACCAUAUUUCUUCAGGGCAUCAGGAAAGGCAGGCAAGAUUCUUGGAAGGAUGUCAUCAGAGAGGUUGAUAGGCUUGGAUUGGGCUUCUCUGAUCAGGGUUGAAAUUUCUUUGAAGUCUCCAUACAGUAGUCUGUAAGGAUUUCCUUUGAGACCUUGCUCUUUCAGCUGCUUCUCCAGCUUCUUGGGCCUUAACCAUGCCCAGUUCAAUACUCUCCAUGCCAAUACCAAAAUUACAGCACAAGAGGAAAUUGCUGCAAUUCUGAUGUAGCCUAUUUCCAUUUCUGGACACUUAGCUAUUGCAAGUCUUAACGUCUGUAGCUUUCUUGACAGCUCAUAUAGUUGUUUUCAUGUACAUGCAAUUGAGUUUUGAAAAAAAUAACAUCGAAUUAGGAUACAUCAAAUAUGGGAUCUUUUAUCUCGUGCCUAAUAUUUAUAUAUCUUGUCUGAAAAAGCUUAAAUUUACAACACAAAGGUGAACGCAGUUCAGUAAUGGGGAUGAUAUCAAAGUUCCAUAAUGAACCCUCUCUCUCAUCUCAUUGACUUUCAUAUUUUUUGAAACUUAAGAAAUUCCCGGUAAAUAGAAUGAAAUCGAAUAAAACCACAAUUGUAAGGGAUAAUUGCGGAAACCUCACCUAAAGUUUCUAAUACUAGCACUUACCUCUCUUGUGGUUUAGAAAAUAGCACUUACCACCCUUGCACUUAAGGCUUGUGUUGCAGAUUCAGUCCAUGCCAGAAAAGUUACCAUUAAAAUUUUUUUUUAAGGAGUGAGAUGAGAAAUUUGUACCAAACUUGGCCUUCAUACUGCUUGCCAAGUUGUAUUAACAAAAGAAUGACAAAAUAUGAAAAGUUAUUAAGAAUUGGCAAAAUUUAAGGGGUGUAAGUGUAAUUGAAUGAAGUUUACCAACAAUACAUAAAGCAACAGUGGAUACUAACAGCUAGUUAAAUGACUAUAUAUCCAGGUUCUUGCAACAAAAUUUAUAAAUAAUACACGUCACUUUUAAAACUCUCUAUUAGUAAUAUGAAUAGUCAUUUGUAGGGGUAACACAACUAUUUAUGUUGUGAGCACCAAUCAUAUACAAUAUAUAUAUAUAUAUAUAUAUAUAUAUAUAUAUAUAUAUAUAUAUAUAUAUAUCGCUGAACAAUCAGCUAAUUAACAGCAUACUUAAGCAUUACUAAAAGUUAUUGAGCAUGAGAUGAGUCUAGUUACAAGUAAUUAGAAGUACAUACUAAUAAGAUAAAGUUGUCUUUAGUAAAUGAAAACUGCGGUAAGUGCAUUAGAACCAUGUACCAAAAUUGCUACUGCUGUUGAUAUUUUGGGCAAUCCAGUGCUACAAUUUUUAAUUGGACAGCCAACUUUGGAAAGUCAUUCCGAAGGGCAAUCCAUCGCUAUGAUUCACUGAUUUUGGGCAGAUUGAGAUUUAACCCCCUGUCCUAUCGUCCUGUCAGGUUUUGGUUCUUACAAUUGGAUUUUGCAUAUUUCGUCUUUCAUAUGUUUAAACUGUAAAAAUGUCAAUAAACUACAAUAACCCCUUUGUGGAUUUCAUAGAUUGUCAUAUGAUCCCUCUUAAUGUUUAAAAUAUUCACGUCACCUUUAUAAUUUGACGUGAAGUGCAAAUUUGAUGAUAAAUAAUAUCUGUAACAUUACUAGUUGAAAUACUAAGGUUGUGUUUGGAUUGUAUUUUUCAUGAUUUUUCAUGAAAAAAUUACUGUAGCGAUUUGAUGUAUGUAAGGAAAAAAUGUAAUAAGGAAAUGUGAUUACGAAAAAUGAUGUAAUUUUUCGACGGAAACAGCAAUCCAAACAACCUUUAAUAUUGGCUAAGCACGAGAUUGAAUAAUGGCAUGACUACCUCUGAUUUGUUUACACGUGUCCUGAUGCGGGAUGAGUCAAUUAACAAAACUUUUUAUUUUAUUUUUAUGCAUUUAUAAUCAUCAAAGCUCGAGAAAUUAAGUCUCCUGGCAUUUAAAGUCUGAAUCCAUUAAAUUAUUGAAUUGUUAAGUAUUAAAUCUAAUACAUUUAAGUGCAUAUCACAUUCAAUAAUAAGUGAAUAGCUUAUCACUUAAUUUUGAAAGCAAAUUUUGCCUAUGAAAUUCAAUACCAUUUAAUUAAUUCAGAUGUCCAAUUUUUGUUGAUCAAAUGGUCUGAAUAUGUAAAUUUAAGUACUGAGCUGAAUUAUAAAAAAGCCUUAGGCAGCUACGCUCCUUUUUGUAAGACUAACACAAACUAAUAAACACAUUGCUGCGGAGGUUGACUUCAAGCAAAUGAAGGCUGUGCGGACAAGCGUGGCUGCUGAGUUUUCGUUCAUUUUCAAAUGAAAUUUAACAAGAAAACUUCACAAUGCUUGCUUAAAAAUUACAAUCAGGGUUGAGGAAUUCACGAACGCCACAUGAUACAGUAAACCACAUGAUACAGUAAAGACAUAAGGGACAAACUGCUCCAUACAACAGUUUGUUCACUCCAGAAGGAGUACAUGAGAUCUAUAUAUCUCGAUUUUCGAAGAGAAGCCAAAUUGGAACAUCAACAACGUUUAUAUCCUUACAAGCUGUGGACACAAACAGCUGCAAACUAUGCAGUCAUAGUUUCAUACUGCAAUUUGUGCAAAAUCAAGCGAGCACCAUACUGCGGUUGAAUAGUUAUGACUGCACGGGGUGCAUGAGUAUAAGAGGGGGAGAGUUCAAAGGAGAAACGCUGGAGAAGCAUAGCUACUGCCAGUUUUGCUUCCAACAUGGCAAAGUUUUGGCCAAUGCAUAUGCGAGGUCCCCAGCCAAAUGGGAAGUAUGCAGUUUGGCCCUUUGUUGCAUUUGAGACUCCAUCAGCAAACCUCUCUGGCUUAAACUCCUCCACAUCAUCGCCCCAUAUUUCAGGGUCAUAGUGCAACAAAAUUGCUGGUAAUGAUACCUGCACUUGAGCUGGUAGAGUUAAAUUUCCCAACUGAAUAUCUUCAUCAGUUCUUCGAGGAAUUGCAGGUACUGGCGGAUAUAGUCUGAGAACCUCGUGUAGUAUCAUGGUGACCUAUCACAGACAAUAAACCACUCAAAUUCCCCACUAAAGCUCUCCAUAACACCAUUUUAAGAGUAUAUGCUCUUGAGACCUCACUGGACAAGAUUAUUGCAUAGAGUUUUGUUCUAAUAUUGAAGAUUGAAUGCAAAUAAAGAUUAAUCAAAAGUAAAUUAAGAUCCAUCUAGCAAAGCUACAUUAUACACAUCCCAAUAUUUUUUUUCCUAAUCAAGAAACUAUAGAGUGUGUGUAUUCAAGAGUUUGAGGUGAUUUCACAUCUAUGUGGUGGCAGAGCAACUAUAAAAGCACUAGAAUAUCACAAUGAUACAAUGAUACAAGGAUAUAUGUAAAUUGAAAAUAGAACUUACCAAUUUUAGGUGAUUUAACCCUUUAAAAUCAGGCUUGUUAUUCCCAAAGUGUUGCAAAACUUCUUCUCUAGCUCGCGCUUGCCAGUUUGGAUGCCUACUCAAUAAGACCAUUGUCCAUACAAGCAUCACUGAGGUGGUCUCCUGCCCCGCAAAAUAGAACAGCUUGCAUUCUUCAAUAACAUCUCCAAUAGUCAUGCCAAAAUCCUUGUUGCCGUGAUCAUCAAUUUCUUUAGAAUUGGAUUCGAGUAAUAUACCCAAUAAGUCAUCAGCACAAGCUUCCCCUUCUUUCAUUGCCUUCAAUCUUGCAUUUAUAAUUUCUCUAAUAGAUUCUUGAACAUCUUUGGCAAUUUGUUUCAUUCUUCUAUUUAAUUUGGUUGGCAAAAACCUGAAAAGAAUAUAGUUUCACAAACAAGCAACAAAAGCUUGUAUAUCGGACCUUCAUUUACUGGGUAAAGGGAUCUUUUCCAAGCAAUGGCAUCGAAUUUAGAAGUCAAAAGUUUCUUCAGAGCAAAGAAGGCAGUGAGUUAACACAAUUUACCUCCACCCUGGAAUGUAUACUGAUUCUACAGCCUUUAGGAAAUGUUCAGCCUGUUCCCUUUGAAGUUCAAAUAUCCUUUUUCCUUCUUGAUAGUUACUUCCAAAUGCCGUCCGUGAAAUGGCAUCAGAAGUCAGAGUUUGAAUGUCCGGCCAAACAUCCAACUCACAGGAGCCAUUGGUCGAAACAAUCGCCUCCCAUUUGUCCAACAUCUCACUAGCACUUGCAUAAAAUGAAGGGACCAUGUGCUACAGGCAAGAACACGGGAAAACGAAAAAGAGGUCAUGUACAAUGCUACUCCUCCAGUAAGAAUUCUCAGUUCAUUUUGUAAAUUAGGUAUCAUAUUUGUUUUUGCUUUUCCUGUAAUCAGAUAGCUUACCACUUCAUUAUGGUGAACGCAUUCAUUCCAAUGAACUAAUCAAAGUUUCCAAGAUUUCUGGUAUGACGACAACCUUACCUUGUUGCUCUUAUUAAGAGAUGAAGUAAUAAUUCAUUAAAUACCCAGAAAAAAUUAGAGAAAACCUUCAAUUUCUCCACAUGGAAAGCGGGAGUGAUGAGUUUUCUGUGUUUAGCCCAUUUAUCUCCAUCAUAGCUCACCAGCCCUGUUGCCAGCAAUUUGGUCAAUGGAUUAGCAGGAGCUUUUUGAAAGAUGUAAAGCUUUGUUGUGAUCUCCCUUAUGUGUUCAGGGUUCAAGAUCAGCACCAUCGGUUUUGGUCCAUGCCAUAUGUAUGUAUUCUCACCUGAGAGUCAUUCACCACUUGUUUCAACUCAGGAUUAAACAAAUAUCUUAAAUCAAUCAAGGGUACCUAGAACUGCUAUCUUUAUCUGUUCUUUUUUUAAAAUCAUUUAACAAGAUGGAUACGUUGGAAACGAGAUAUUGGAGGGUACUUGACCUUAUGAACUCCUGCCAGUACCUGAAAAUCAGACGGCAUGCUAUACAGUAGAUAAACUGGACUCCUUGGAUUAAUUGUGAUCAUAAUAUUUAGUUCUGAUCAUCCUAACCAAUCACUCAAGAAGAUAUAAAGGCCUCAUUUAUUUUCGAAUACUACUCGGCAUUGCUAUCUAUUUGAUUCACCAUGUUUGAGGUUUACAUUAAUCAUGAGAAGAUUGAGGCUUCCUGUUGUACUACAGUGUCAUUGAGUUUGAACUCUUGAGACUGGAAAGUGGACAAGCAACCUAAUUUAGAAUAAUUUGUCCAGAUUGGCACAUCCACUGAUCCACCCAUUUGUAUUCAUAUGCCAAGGUUCAACUCUCGUUGCUCUAAUUUGCACUAUUUGCUCUGCAAUCUCCUUCAUGUACUCAAAACAGGGGGGAAAAGAAAAUUUCUUGCUAAAAAAAGCUGUCUCAUUUACUGAAUAGUGAAAACAGAUUAGUAUCCACUAUUGCAUUAUUUGCCAUAUCAAAAAUAAGAUAGAACUAUCCUUAUGAAAUGCUUCCAGACUGAAAGCGAUACUGUUUUGUGUGUAAGGUGUAAUGAUGACUCUGCAAUCUCCUUCAUGUACUCAAAACAGGGGGAAAAAGAAAAUUUCUUGCUAAAAAAAGCUGCCUCAUUGCAAGGCAAAUUGAAGUAAGGAAUCUUGAAAGGUAAAUUGCAAUCAUUGAAGAAAUCCAUGAACACUUGCAAAGAAAGCAUCGGACGAUUGAAAAAGAUGAUACUACUACUUACCAUACUUCUUGACAGCUGCACAGAAGUGAGGAAUAACUCUCGGGAUGAAGUCUUCAGAGACAUUGAUUGGCUUGGAGUGAGCUUCCUUAAAGUGGGUUGCGAUCUCUUUGAAGUCUCCAUAGAGAAGUUUGUAAGGAUUUCCUCUGAGCCCUUGCUCCUUCAGCCGCUUUUCCAGCUUCUUCGGAGUUAACCACGCCCACUUGAACGCUCUCCAUGCAAGCACUGAAAUCAAGAGCAGAAUACAAGAAGAGAACACAGCAAUUGGGCUGUAUGCUAUCUCCAUUACAGAGGCGUAGUUAAAGGUUUAUUGUGAUCAUCUGCUCUUGCAUUCAUAUUUAUAGCUGAAAGUUAUCGGAAAGUCCGAGAAAAGUUGUCUUCGUGUUGUCCCAGAAUUCAGUUUUAGAGAGCAAGUUACUCUUUAGUCACUAGUUGUUUAACGACUCACGCAACUUUCCUAUAAUUAUAAUUUUAAGAACUAUACAUAACUCACAUAUUUUGGAUUAAAAGUAUCAAAAUCAUGCAAAUUAUUAUUGUUAUUAUUAAUUUUAUGCUAGAGUCAGUUGAAACCUCAAGACUAAUCUCAAGUCAUGACGGAAGUUUUUUGUAAAGCAUGUAGGGUUUAUGCAUAGCUUUAAAAGUUAUAGGAAGUGCAUGAAAAAAAGAAUUACACUACUGGAGACUAAAGUGUAAUUCAUCUUAUAUUUAUACAUCUUGAGUAUUGAAGUAAUUUUAGCUUUUGCAUAGGGGUUAUACUGAUAAUUUUAGCUUCCGUUGUUACAUAUGACGGUUUUCAUGAUUAUAGUUCAAAUUGUAAAGUAGUUAUAUAUUAACAUUUGAAAUCAUAUAAAAGGUAAGAAAAAAAAGUGAAACUAUUAAUGGCUAAAAUAAUAUAAUUUAUCUUAAAUUUAAAACUUUGUGGCGACAAAGAAUGGGUAAAUAAAAAUAGUAAAGGAAUGGACGGUCAUUCUGAUGACCGUCCCUGAACAGUUAAUGGCCAUGAUUUGGCUAAAAAAUUUUGUGCGGUUCAAAUCACAAGUUGUGCGUCAAUUUUAAUACCGCGUGUGGGGCCCGCAAAAUUUUGUACUAAAGUUAUACGUUGUGCAAACAAAAUUACUCCAUGUGCAACCAAAGUUACGCGCCGUUGAAAAUAGCCAAAAUCACUGUGAAUGGUUACACCUAUAAUCGUCCGUGCCCCUUGUCCAAGGUUGAGGCAUUAUCUGGGAGUUUGUGACAAAAAAAUAAAUAAAUACAGCUUUUAAAAAUUAUUAUAAUUUUGGAAAGGAGCCUAGAGAGAAAACUUGGAAGCCAAAAUUUGGACUUUCGUCUGCAUUCUAAAAAUCUAGGUUUUCCUUGAAAAAUACCGCCAAUGGGUGCGUACGCACCUGUUUGAAUCAGUUGUGGUUCAGUUUCUUUCGAGUUUCCGUUUGACCUCUUUAUGUCCCUCUUCCCCCUAGUAUCAAUGUUUUGAAACUCGAACCGGUCAUUGACUCGAUCGAGAUUAGGGGUCAAUGGGUUUGACCCUAAUUGAAUCCAUCUAAGAAUCAGAUGAUGUCAUAAAUGUAGACACCAAAUUUUUGCUAAUUUUUUAUAUUUUCUUGAAUUUUGUUGAUUUCAUGCAUCAUUUACUUUUGUGCACUUUAAUGUGAAUUUUCUUGUUUUGUAGGUUUAUUUUAAAAAAAGAAAGGAGAGAGAAAAGAGGAAAAUAAAGAAAAAUUAAAAAGAGAAGAAGAAAAAGAAAAAAUCUCUAAUCAUUUUUUUUUUCAAACUAAUACACCAUUCACCCAAUUUAAUACUCCACCUCUCUUCCCUCUUUUCUCCGGGUACAAAAUUCAUCAUUUUUUUACCAACAGCUUCACAACAACUCCAACCAACGCUUCUUUCUCAAUUCACUCUCUUAGUUCUUUCUUUGGCUCUCAAUUCACAAGUAACAAAAAAAAAAGAGUAAUUUUAUUUAUAUCGACAGUGUAUGUACUAUCACGUUAGAUACACGACACAUAAAUAAAAUUUGAGUUUCAAAUUUAAAUUUAAAUUAUAUAUCAUGCAUCUAAUGGUGAAAGUAUAUACACUAUUAGUGAAUAAAAGAUUAAUUUAAAAAAAAAAAAAAAAAAGAAGAGGAAAGCAACUUUCCCUCAAUUCCCUCUCCCUCUCGGAUCUCCUUUCCCCCCUUCCCCUCUUAAUUUUUCCGCCAUCACACACUCUCACAAAACUCUCUCUCGGUUCAGUUUGCACGCACAAGCACACCAAGCACAAAAACUCUAUCAAUUUCAAAACAACUCACCAACUUUUUCCUCCCCCCAACUCUCUCUCGGCUCUCCCUCAAAUUUUCACACCUCACACUCCAACAACCUCCAACUCCCUUUCUCUUCCUCUCUGCUCUCUCACUCCCUCCCUCUACACAUAUUCAUCCGUAAACCAAACACAGAAGAGUAUCCUUUCCGUUUUCCCGUGAUGUUGAGCAAAUAAGCAACAAACACGCAUUUAAUAUAAUUAAUUAAAAGAAGAAAAGCUUAAAAAAAAUACAUCAAUGAAAGUUGUAGUCCGUUGCCAAAGUUUUUGAUGGGACCAUGUGCUACAGGCAACAACACGGAAACGAAAUGGAGGUCAUGUACAAUGCUACUCCUACUCCUCCAGUAAGAAUUCUCAGUUCAUUCUGUCAACUAGGUAUCAUAUUUGUUUUUGCUUUUCCUGUAAUCGGAUACUUUACCACUUCAUCACAGGGAACUCAUUGGUUCCAAUGGACCAGGGGCAGUAACGGUAACCGUUCCUGGCAACUACGUGCAUUUUACACACGGUGUAACUUACUUUUAACAACGUGUAACUUUAGAACAAAAUUUGUGGGUCCCACAUUUGUUGUUAAAUCGAGAUACAAGAUGAAAUCUGGACCGUACAAAUUUUUUUGGCCAAAUCUUGGCCACUCCUGCCCCUCUUCCGGUUCCAAUGAACUAAUCAAAGUUUCCAAGGUUUCUGGUAUGACAGCCUUACCUUGUAGAUCUUAUAAAAGAUGAAGUGAUAAUUCAUUAAAUACCCAGAGAAAAUUAGAGAAAACCUUCAAUUUCUCCACAUGGAAAGCAGGAGUGAUAAGUUUUCUGUGUUUAGCCCAUUUAUCUCCAUCAUAGCUGACCAGCCCUUGUGCCAGCAAUUUGAUAAGUGGAUUAGCAUGAGGCUUUUGAAAGAUGUAAAGCUUUGUUGUGAUCUCCCUUGUGUGUUCAGGGUUCAUGAUCACCACCAUCGGGUGUGGUCCAAGCCACACGCAUGUAUUCUUACCUGAGAAUCAUUCACCACUUAUUUCAUUAAACAAACAUCUUAAAUCAAUCAAGGGUGCUUAGUACUGCUAUCUUUAUCCGUUUCUUAUAUCAUUUAACAGAAUGGAUAUAUUGGAACCAAGAUACUGGAGGGUACUUCACCUUAUGAACUCCUGCCGGUACCUGAAUAUCAGACAGCAAUGUAUACAAGAAGCACGAUUAAAAGAAAUGCAUUACUGCCAAUUGGACUCCUUGGAUUAAUUGUGAUCAUAAUAUUUAGUCCUGAUCAUCUUAACCAAUCACUCAAGAAGAUAUAAAGGCGUCAUUUAUUUUCGAUUUGAUUCACCAUGUUUGAGGUUUACAUUAAUCAUGAGAAGAUUGAUUCUUCCGGUAGUACUGGAGUAUCAUUGAGUUUAAACUCUCGAGACUGGAAAGUCGACAAGCAACCUAAUUUAGAAUAAUUUGUCCAGAUUGGCACAUCCACCCAUUUGUAUUCAUAUGCCAAGGUUCAACUCUCGUUGCUCUAAUUUGCACUAUUUGCUCUGCAAUUUCUUGCUAAAAAAAGCUGUCUCAUUUAUUGAAUAGUGAAAACAGAUUGGUAUCCACUAUUGCAUUAUUUGCCAUAUCAAACAUAAGAUAGAACUAUCCUUAGGAAAUGCUUCCAGACUGAUAAAAAGAAAGGUGUAAUGAUGACCCUGCAAUCUCCUUCAUGUACUCAAAACAGGGGGAAAAAGAAAAUUUCUUGUUAAAAAAAGUUGUCUCGUUGCAAGGUAAAUUGAAAUGAGGAAUCUUGAAAGGUAAAUUGCAAUCAUUGAAGAAAACCAUGAACACUUGCAAAGAAAGCAUCGGAUGAUCGAAAAAGAUGAUACUACUACUUACCAUACUUCUUGACAGCUUUACAGAAGUGAGGAAUGACUCUUGGGACGAAGUCCUCAGAGAGAUUGACUGGCUUGGAGUGAGCUUCCUCGAAGAGGGUUGAGGUCUCUUUGAAGUCUUCAUAGAGAAGUUUGCAAGGAUUUCCUCCGAGGCCUUGCUCUUUCAGCCGCUUUUCCAGCUUCUUGGGAGUUAACCACACCCAGUCGAAUGCUUUCCAUGUAAGCACUAAAAUCAAGAGCAGAACGCAAGAAGAGAAUACAGCAAUUGGGCUGUAUGCUAUCUCCAUUACAGAGGCGCAGUUAAAGGUUUAAUUUUGAGCAUCUGCUCUUGCAUUCAUAUUUAUAUCGGGAAGUCCACGUAGAGUCAUCUUCAUGAUGUCCCAGAAUUCAUCAGUUUUAGAGCAAGUUACUCUUUAGCCCUAGUUGUUUAAUGAUUCACGUAACUUUCCUAUAAUUUUAAAAGCUAUACAUAACUCUCAAAUUUUGGAUUAAAGUAUGUUCGGGGGUUAAUAUCUUUAAUGCUAGCGGUCCCAGAAAAGGGGCGUCAAUCGUUCAUAUUGGUCAUUCCGGUUUCCCCUGAGACUUCAAUUCAAACUUCCAAUGAGCCUUCAAUACUAUGAGCUUAUGAGGUUAUCUUUUAUCCAAAAUGUUGCAGAUUCUAAUUGCACUUUUAUUUUGUAAAAUCAAACACCCCUGCCGGGCUAAGUCUGCCGCCCUGUAGGGGACAACGUUUCAAAAAAAAAAAUGCUAAGUUGCUGCAGGCUUCCUUUUUUUUUUUUUAAAGAAUCACCCAGCCCGGUAGGGGACAACAUUCAUAACAUUCAAUUUACCUAGCACCCUAAGAUUAUUGAUUACCCUUGAAACUGGUUCUGAGCAACAGGAAACCCGGAGAGGGAGCAGAUUAAGACUCGGGCAGAAACUUUUGAACAAUUUUCUGAAAAAAUCGUUAAAUUUCAAAAUGCAAGAACAUUACACUGCCUGGCAGUUCUAGACAAACAAAAGUAAUAACGGGAUUUAACUAAAUGUGGAAUUUCGAUUUAUGUAUUCAAUCUAUAGCUUGUGCAAAAUCAAGGGAGCACCGUACUCUG